This 67202-nucleotide long non-coding RNA is filed under the name Triticum aestivum (bread wheat). RNAcentral describes it as "long non-coding RNA (TAES_LNC024305)". Lineage: Eukaryota; Viridiplantae; Streptophyta; Magnoliopsida; Poales; Poaceae. The record is from RNAcentral.
UGCAAUUAGAUAAUUUGAUUCAAAAAGAGCCAAUAAGGCAUAAUAUUUCAUACAACAGCCAAGCAUAGUACAAUUCUGGUAUUCAGCUAUAAAAUACAACUAAAUAUACACAUAACUAGCUCCAAGCAUAACUAUCUCUAGUGAGCUAAAACGCAUUGCUGGGUGUGGUUUAUCUUCGGCAUUCUUCUUCCUAGAGCUCCUGUACACCCAACUUUGGAAGAAUGAAAGCCAACAUCUACAAAUAAUAAAUUAUGAAAAGUUAGAAACAUAAUCAAGUGAAUCCGUGAAUAUAAAAUUCUCAUAACAAUGAAAAUUUGCUGCAGAACUUUAGAUUUAACAGGAAACCAUGCAUAUAACAUUCCUAUUACAGCGAAAACUGAGAUAUAUUUCGCAAAUGAUCAAGUAACAUAUGGACAGUACAACAGGUCAGAGAGCAGCAAGACAUAAGCCGUAUGCAAAGCAGUCAAACAGUUCAGGGAACGGCAAAAAUGCUUGCAUGCAAUUGAAGUAUGUACUAGUACUAGUACAACACAAUGCCAGGUUGGAGCAAAUCAUGCUUAAGCAAACAAUGGCAGCGGCAUGGCAUAACCAAAUAAUAAUGUGAGAAAACAACUGGAUAUGAGUCGCACUUGAUCACAACAAAGAAUGUGCUAGUAGUGUGCACUCACCAAAGAAUGAAUGAAUCGACAUUGAUUUGCUACACUGCACCAUCCAAGGGGAGCUGACUUCUUCAAGGCAUCAGUUGUAUAUAGUAUAUGUGAAACAACAGAUUCAUAGUUAAAACUUAGUAGAAACAAGUGCAACACUUAGUAGAAACAAGCAUCAAUUCUAACAGGUAAAGCCCUUGGAACACACGUUGGGGAAGUAAUCUAUGGGAUGGAUUAUGAGAACUACCAGUUACUGCUUACUAAAGAGAUCUGCUGGCUACGGUAAUAACUAGUUUCACGGUUACGAUUAUAUACAUUCGAUUGCCAGCACAGCUAAAGGUAUAGCUUUUGAGUUAUUUCUGUCACUGAGACACUGACUAUCAACAGCCUAAAUCAAGCCAAUUGAUAACUGAUAUACAUAGGCACCACACUAUGAAUGAGAUAAUUUUGCAGAUGCAUAUGUUUACACUGUUCAAGUAUACUAUAUGCACCUGAAUGUAAUCAGGUGCAUAUGUUGCCAGACAAAGAUGGCAUCUGUAUAUACCUGGAAUCAAUCACAAGGUAUAGGGAGGGAAUUAGUCACAUAUAUUCUUACUAGUACUGCUAGGUUGCUAGCUAGCUGCAUGUAUCCAUGUAGUAAGCAGUCACAAGUCAGAACACACAUCUGAUGCCACCAUCUUAUCUUACACUUCAGGAACUAGUACAACAUGAUAGGAUGACAUGUGAUGCUACCAUCUUAUCUUAGAAGAAGAAAAACAACAACACAUCUAGCAAGAACGGAUUGACAAUCACCUAGUUGCCGAUCCAUGAUUUUAUAGUACGGUGCAAGAUAGCUGUCAUCAUUGAACAAUUCAAGAUUGAAGAAUUCAAAACAUCUGAAUUGCAGCAAAUUGUAAUUCUUAUUCUGCAUAACUCAUAAAUUGGGAUGCAUAGAAGCAUACUAUCAACUCUAUAGUCCUACUGAGAACCCACUACCAAGAGGGCCCAAGAACUACACAUAUUGGUGGUGCGGCCAAUAUGUACCUCAAGUACUUAUAGAUCCUGAUGAAAUAUCAUAGACAAUUAGUGAAGGUGAAUUCUUAGUUCUUAUCAUAUGCCCAUUCACAAGAAUGACUACUUGAGAGCGUAUUCAUACAUGGGAGGGAAGGAGGUUGGGACAUGUACAUCUCACCCCUGUUCUCUGCUGAUUUAGACCUCCACUUGUAAUAGUAAUCAAAUACUGAUCUAGUUGUGUGGUAGCACUAGAAUCUGCAAGAUUUUAAAAAGGUUUCGGCAGGAUGCAGUGAAGUUGUCAUAACACAAAAAUGAACAAUUCCUAAAUGUAGCAUGGAACAAGCAGUGACACACCCAGGCAUUCAUCAACCAACAUAUAUUACACAAGUGACACACCCAGGCAUUCAUCAAGCAACAUAUAUUACACAAGUGCAUACAGUACUCAACAUUCACUCAAAGUAUGUUGUGCAGGAUGGAACCAUUCCAUUUUUACCCAAAGUACUACACAAGUUAACUAAGCUUUUUUAGUUUCAGAAUAUGUGAGUCAGAAAAUAAGCUUGCAAACAAGUUUAUGUAAGUAAUGCACCCUGGAGUACAAUACUUCUAUGGUUUUAUGCAAAUAAUUCAUGAUUUUCUAACUACUCCAAGAUGUCCAGUUAAUUAACUGGAAAAGUAAGUAAACUUGCAAACUGAGAAAAUCUGGUCAGACCACUUGAAAUAUCUUCGGUGAGAGUAGAUGUUUAGAUAAAACACUUGCAAUAUCUACCGCAAGAACUUGUUUACUCCUGCAGAUUUGCUUGCAUGUUCAAAAUCUGGAAAUAUUCAGAAGCAUGUUCAGAAUACUUACUGAAAAUACUGUUAAAUGUUGACAAGUUAAAUCUUGUUCAAUCUUGUUAAAUACUCCCAGCAAAAUUACUCCACACAUGUACAGUUCAAUCAUGUUAAAUACUCUAAGCAAAAUUACUAGAGUACUGGGGUACUAGAAGUUAAAUGUAAUCCAAGCAAAUUGAGAAGUUAACAGUAUUGCUGCUAACUUGGAGUAGCUUUGACUAUGUACAGAGCAAGAUGGAGGGUCUAGCUUACUGCUGCUACUCCACAUAUCAAAUUUUACUUAACAGAGCAAGAUGGAGUAACCCAAAAAAUUAACAGAGCAAGAAAAUGUACUCGAAAUGGCAGUUCACCAGAGAUUUUCAAGUUAAAAAUACUCCCAGGGGUAAAUAACAAUGACAUGGACGGAGUAAAGGAUGGAUGUUUUAAAUUAAUCCAGUAAUUCUUUUUUGUUCUCAUAUUUUCACCCUCUAGACACUGCCUAGAGUGCUUACAAGAUGACAAAGUUAAUUUUGCAUAACACAUAUGGAUUCUUAUCUUCUUCAGUAAGGGAGGCACAUUUACAGCUAAUUAAGCACGAUGAAAGGGACCAUCCAAUUAAAUUACAUUUGUAUUAUCUUCUUCUUCUUCUUCUUCAAUAAGGGGGCACAUUUACAGCUAAUUAAGCACGAUGAGAAAUUAAUUAAUUAAGCAGGAUCAAGUUCAUCAUCCAAAACAGUGGAAGGAAGGGGAUGGGUUAGAAACGGAGGAGUCAUCUUCAGAUACUCUUGUGCGGCUGCUGCUCCUCUUCAGCAACCUUGGGUCACCUGGCACAAACAACAACCAGAGGAAGCAGGGAUCAGUUCAGGAAUUUCCUCGCAAUUAUCUGAACCAAAAAAGAUGGUUCCUCUGUUUUUGGAACAGAGAUGGAAGUAACAACAGGUUGUAGGGCGCUUUUAUUUUGGAUAUGCAAAAUUACUUUUGCUUGGAAGAUGCAUCGUUUUGUGUUGUUAAGAAUACGACUGACUAUAUCUGUUUAGUUUCUUCAUACAGUAAAAAUUGCUUUUGUAAAUUCUGCAGAGGACUGUACUGAACAGAAAAUAACUGGGAAACAUGACAAGUUCCCCCAAGGCGCAUCGGUGCAUGCAUACCUAGAGGCAGCCAGAGGUGAGGAGCCCCUCUGACACCUACUUAGUGAUGACCCAGACGGCGUAGAUGAUGCCAGGGAGGUAGCCGAAAAAGGUGAGCAGCAAGCAGAUUCAGAACUCGAUCUGGAAAAGCACGUUCAGCACCAGCAGUCAGUUAACCCAACUCUCGACGGAAUCACGCUCAGGAGAGAACCUACUGUGAAGUUUAAACAUGCAGCUAGCACGGGACCGGGACAAAGCUCGGGCAACUCACCCGGCAGGUGAACUUGAGGAAGACGCCGAGCGGCGGCAGGAUGAUGGCGAGGAUGAUGUCGAUGCAGUUGGCCAUCCCCUCGUCCGCCAUCUUCCUUCUCUCUCUCCAAGUGUCCAAGGGAAAUCAAAGGGAGGUGAUGUGAACAAGGAGGGCGAGACGGUUCUCCACCUCCUGGUCCACCACGCACAUCGGUCGUCCCCUUGCCAUUGUCGUUCCAUGAACACAAGGAAGGAAGGAUGGGGUGUCGGAUCUGCAGCACGCAAGCCACGCAUGAGAGGAGAUGGAAGAGUUGGCAAGAACGGCGUACGUACCUUGGGCGUCUAGGUCCCACCGGAGUUGCGUCGUUGUCAACGACCAGCACAGCAGCAAGCUCCGGUGUGGUGUGGUGUGCAGCGCCACACCGAUCCGGCCGGGCUCCAUCACGCAGGUGGAUCCCGAUGCGGCCGACCUCCAUCGCACAGGUGGGUGCGGGUCCGGCGCUGCCAUCGCCAGAACUGGUGCGCCCCAUCCAUCGCCAGAACUGGUGCGCCCCAUCCAUCGCCAGAACUGGUGGGCAUGGGUGGGUGGAUCCGUGGAAGAGGGGGUUUCCAUGGGUGGAUGGACGAGAUGAGGAGGGAGGUCGGUCGGCGGUGGGGUUGGGGAUGGGGGGGGCGGGGAGACGAGGUUGCCGAUGGGGGUGGGGAUCGACGGCGAUGGCGGAGAUUGGAGAAGAAUCGGGGGUUGGGGAAGAGGAGCAGUUUGUGGGCAGCUCCGCGGGGCUUCACUUGUGAGUCUGGGCAUGGGCUCGAUCUUGGGUCAGCCUCGACCUCGUCUACGGUGGGAAUCGAUCGAGGAAGAUCAACGAAAAAAAUAGCGCGCUACAAAAUAUAGCGAGCCCCUUCUCAAAAUGCUACACAAGUUAUAGCGGCGCUAAUAGCGUGCUAUAUUUCAAAAUAGCGUUUGCACAAAAUGCUAAAUAUAUCCACAAAUAAAGUAUUUCAGUACCUUAAGACACUAUCGUAGAUAGACAUAAUCUAGCCAAAUAGGAAGCACAAAUUUUAAACUGAAUGUCAAACUAUAGUCAAUCUAUUUAACAUAUAUUAACUCUCAACACUAAGCACCUAGCCUACAUCUACCGUGCAAUAACCACAAAAUAAACCAGUCCUUCCCUAUUUUUCUGAUAUUUUUCAUCAUUUGAACGCUAUAACGCUACACGCUACAACGUUAUAACGCCCUGUAGCGCGCUAAUUACGUGAAUAGCGCCAUAGCGGCUGAAUUUGCUAAAAUAUAGCGUUUCCUUCUGAAUACGCUAUAACGGCGCUAUAGCGUCGUUAUAGCGUGCUAUUUUUUUCGUUGAGGAAGAUAGAGAGUGCGGGUGGGAGACGGGAGGGACUGCGGGUGUCGAGAGGUGGGAGGAAGAGGGGAGGGGGAGCUCGAUCUGAGGGAGGGAGAUGGCGGUGGGAGGGAUCGAGGGGAGCGCCUGCUGUAACUUUGGANNNNNNNNNNCGCCGGUGCGUUGGAUCCGCGAGGGUGGGGGUCUCCGAGCGGUGAGAGUGUGUGGGGAACGCCGGAGGAGUGGGGUGGGGGCGGCGGCGCGUCGAGAUCCAGAGGGAGGGAGUGGGGUUGGGGGCGGCGGCGGCGGAUCCAGAAGGAGGAGUUGUGUGAGAGCGCUAGGGUUUGCUGCGCAGGGAGAGAGAGGAGUUGUGUGCGGUGUUUUUUUAGGGGUAGCUCGCGGUGGGUGGGUGAGAGGGUGAGGUGCAGGCCGUUGGAUCCAGGGGAUCCGGCGGUGAUUUAUCCAUGAUCCGCGUGAGAGGCCCUCGGACCAAUCAGAAUGUAGUAUACAUGUAUGAUAUUUUGACCAUUUAAAUUGGUCGUAAUCGACUAAAAGUAAUGUGCUAAAUCAUGUUAGCUAUUUUAUUAUGACCUGAAAAUUUGAAAAAAAAACUUCUCAUUGUGUCAGCAAAUUUGACUAUUGUUUUCAGGAAUAAUCACAAAUUGAAAUAAGAUAAAUAUUUUUUUAAAGAGUUAUGAACAAUGAGUUCUUUUAAAUAAUUUUUCCAUUUUUCGAGUGUCCGAAAUGAGUUUUUUUGUGAAGGACCUACCAAAUAUUUGUUGCAAAAUUAUACCAAAUCAAUUUUCUAAAAUACUAGGACAUAUUCAAUGCACAAUUGACCAAAUGGUUGGGUGUGAGAAGCUUUGAUCCACCUCUCGUGAAAAAGACAAACUUCCGUUGAUUCAGUAGGAAGCGGGUCAAAUUUGAACUGUAGCUGCCUUGUAGUUUGCUCUUUAAUUUUUCCAAAAAUCAUUUCUAGGUACAUAAGUAUCUAUUUAAUCAGAGAAACACCAAAAAAAUUCCAAGAUUCAACCACUAGCUAGGAAUGGUCAUUCCCGCCGUUUUGACCGCAUUUUGAAACGGGCAUAAAAAAUUCAAAAAAAAACAAAAAUUUGGGAAACCUUCGCAUGUGUCAUCAUAUGUGGCCAAGUUCCUAGGAAAAAUAACAAACUUGUAAUACGGCAAUUAUUUUAAAAAAGUGUUCUCAGAAACGAGCUAUCACGUGUGGAGAUCAAUGGCUUUCAAGCCAAAUGAUCAAUCUUAUGGCCACAUUCAUGGCAUAGUUUGUUCAAAUGAUCUCAUACUGUGCACAAGGGUGCAUAUUGGAAUGGCAAACAAUGUUGCCUAAGGAAGUUUUCAUUUUCUUUGGACGAAAAAACCAUUUUCCAUUUUUCGAGUGCCCAAAAGGAGGUUUUUUUGUGAAGGACCUCCCAAAUAAUUGUUGCAAAAUUGUACCAAAUCAUUUUUCUAAAAUACUAGUCCAUAUUUAAUGCACAAUUGACCAAAUAGUUGGGUGUAAAAAGUUUUGAUCCACCUCUCGUGAAAAAGACAAAUUUCCGCCGAUUCAGUAGGAAGCGGGUCAAAUUUGAUCUGUAGCUGCCUUGUAGUUUGCUAUUUAUUUUUUCCAAAAAUCAUUUCUAGGUACAUAAGUAUCUAUUUAAUCAGAGAAACACCAAAAAAAAUCCAAGAUUCAACCACUAGCUAGGAACGGUCAUUCCCGCCGUUUUGACCGCAUUUUGAAACGGCCAUAAAAAAUUCAAAAAAAUCAAAACAUUGGGAAACCUUCGCAUUGUGUCAUCAUAUGUGGCCAAGUUCCCAGGAAAAAUAACAAACUUGUAAUACGUCAAUUAUUUUAAAAAAGUGUUCUCAGAAACGAGCUAUCACGUGUGGAGAUCAAUGGCUUUCAAGCCAAAUGAUCAAUCUUAUGGCCACAUUCAUGGCAUAGUUUGUUCAAAUGAUCUCAUACUGUGCACAAGGGUGCAUAUUGGAAUGGCAAACAAUGUUGCCUAAGGAAGUUUUCAUUUUCUUUGGACGAAAAAACCAUUUUCCAUUUUUCGAGUGCCCAAAAGGAGGUUUUUUUGUGAAGGACCUCCCAAAUAAUUGUUGCAAAAUUGUACCAAAUCAUUUUUCUAAAAUACUAGUCCAUAUUUAAUGCACAAUUGACCAAAUAGUUGGGUGUAAAAAGUUUUGAUCCACCUCUCGUGAAAAAGACAAAUUUCCGCCGAUUCAGUAGGAAGCGGGUCAAAUUUGAUCUGUAGCUGCCUUGUAGUUUGCUAUUUAUUUUUUCCAAAAAUCAUUUCUAGGUACAUAAGUAUCUAUUUAAUCAGAGAAACACCAAAAAAAAUCCAAGAUUCAACCACUAGCUAGGAACGGUCAUUCCCGCCGUUUUGACCGCAUUUUGAAACGGCCAUAAAAAAUUCAAAAAAAUCAAAACAUUGGGAAACCUUCGCAUUGUGUCAUCAUAUGUGGCCAAGUUCCCAGGAAAAAUAACAAACUUGUAAUACGUCAAUUAUUUAAAAAAAAGUGUUCUCAGAAACGAGCUAUCACGUGUGGAGAUCAGUGGCUUUCAAGCCAAAUGAUCAAUCUUAUGGCCACAUUCAUAGCAUAGUUUGUUCAAAUGAUCUCAUAUUGUGCACAAGGGUGCAUAUUGGAAUGGCAAAUAAUGUUGCCUAAGGAAGUUUUCAUUUUCUUUGGACGAAAAAACCGUUUUUCAUUUUUCGAGUGCCCGAAAGAGGUUUUUUUGUGAAGGACCUCCCAAAUAAUUGUUGCAAAAUUGUACCAAAUCAUUUUUGUAAAAUACUAGGCCAUAUUUAAUGCACAAUUGACCAAAUGGUUGGGUGUGAGAAGCUUUGAUCCACCUCUCGUGAAAAAGACAAACUUCCAUCGAUUCAGUAGGAAGCGGGUCAAAUUUGAACUGUAGCUGCCUUCUAGUUUGCUCUUUAUUUUUUCCAAAAAUCAUUUCUAGUUACAUAAGGACCUAUUUAAUCAUAAAUACAUGGUUUGGUGGCGAUACGUCGAGGUUUGGGCGGUGGCCGAGGGCCCCAACUCUAGAGCGCGUAAACUCGCAUGCCCGCCGCAUGGUCACCGCGUGACCGUGGCGUUGCCAUGUGUUCUGGGCGGCCUAGGCAUGUCUAGUGGGUUGGGCACUCCCCAGGUAGGUGCUAGGAAGAAAAUUACAACAUAAGAUUCUCACGAGGAGACCGAUCGAUGCUCAUACAUGAAUUAGCAGCCAAGUGUUUGAUUAGCGGUACGGGAAAUGUACAUGGCUAAUGGGCGUGAGUUUUGGCUGAGGAUGAUCAGUUACUAAGAAGACCGUCUUCACAAAUUUUCAGCUCAAAAGGAGGAGCCUAGGUGGUACUUGCUUUGCAAAGUACCACACUGGACAUAAAUACCAAUGUUGAAGCUGGGCUCAAAAUAGUGAAUGGAUUGAGCUGGCAUUUGGUGGAGGAUGGUUAUUUGGGCAUAGGAAAGCACCGUAGAAAAUGGAUACUAUUUGGACAUGCCAAAGUGGUACUUCCUUCACAAAGUGUUGUUCUGAACAGAAUAGGAAAAUGAAUAUUGUUGAAUUACUUUUGAACUAGGCAAGGAAGGUUUUUUUACAUAUUUGACGAAGAUAUGGCCCAAAUAAUUUAUGAGAUAUUUUUGGGAAUUUUGGGAAUGACAGAAAUAUAGUUUGCUUCACAACCUGGGGCAAAAAUUGCCACAUGGACAUGACACAUAGGCAAAACUGAUGAGGUGGCGCCUAGUCAUAGUAACCCACCACAAUUUACAAGGUUAUGACCAUCUAUAUUGGUCGUGAUCAGCUAGAAAUAAGGCAGCGGACCAGUGCUAUCUGCUUUAUGACCAUUUCGUUUUAGGAAAUUACGACUUUUCUGACCAAAAUGGUCGUUAUAGUUUAGGGUUUGGAGCCCCCCGAACAGCUUUUGACCAAUUGGUCUGAAAUGGUCAUAGAUCUAUGACCAAUUCUUCCAGGGUCACUGACAGAAGGUCACUAGUUGACAUAUUUCUUGUAGUGCUGGCGCCGUUGCCGGGGAGUGAAGCGCCUUUGGUAAGUGGAAUUUGGUAAGGAAAAAUUUAUAUAGUGUGCUGAAAUUUACUGUCACUUGUUACUAUGGAAAGUAAUACUUUGAGGGGCUUGUUCGGGGUAUCUUCACCCCGACCAGUAGAGCAAAGAGUUGCUCCUCAACCUACUGAACCUACUGAAAAUGUUUACUUUGAAAUUCCUUCGGGUAUGAUAGAGAAACUGCUAGUUAAUCCUUUCACAAGUGAUGGAACAUUACAUCCCGAUUUGCACCUAAUCUAUGUGGAUGAAGUUUGUGGAUUAUUUAAGCUUGCAGGUAUGCCCGAGGAUGUUAUCAAGAAGAAGGUCUUCCCUUUAUCUUUGAAGGGAAAGGCAUUGACAUGGUUUAGGCUAUGUGAUGAUAUGGGAUCAUGGAACUACAACCGAUUGAAAUUGGAAUUUCAUCAGAAGUUUUAUCCUAUGCAUCUUGUUCAUCGUGAUCAUAAUUAUAUAUAUAAUUUUUGGCCUCGCGAAGGAGAAAACAUCGCUCAAGAUUGGGGGAGGCUUAACUCAAUGUUAUAUUCAUGCCCCAAUCAUGAGCUCUCAAGAUAAAUUAUUAUUCAAAAAAUUUAUGCUCGGCUUUCUCUCAAUAAUACUAGCUCUUUUAUGAUGAAGACUAUUGAAUUCAAAUGGGAUUUAUUGGAAAGAAUUAAACGCAACUCUGAAGAUUGGGAUCUCGACGAAGGUAAGGAGUCAGGUAUAACACCUAGUUUUGAUUGUGUCAAAUCUUUUAUGGAUACCGAUGUUUUCCGUGAAUUUAGCACCAAAUAUGGGCUUGACUCUGAGAUAGUAGCUUCUUUCUGUGAAUCCUUUGCUACUCAUGUUGAUCUCCCUAAGGAGAAGUGGUUUAAAUAUAAUCCUCCUGUUGAAAUAAAAGUAGUUGCACCUAUUAAAGUUGAAGAAAAGACUAUCACUUAUAAUGUUGAUCCUGUUGUUCCUACUGCUUAUAUUGAGAAACCGCAUUUCCCUGUUAGAAUAAAGGAUCAUGCUAAAGCUUCAACCGUGGUUCCUAAGAGUAACACUAGAACACGUACACCCCCUGAGCAAAUUAAAGUUGAACCUAGUAUUGCUAUGGUUAAAGAUCUCUUGGCCGAUAAUAUUGAUGGGCAUGUUAUUUACUUCUGUGAUGAAGCUGCUAGAAUUGCUAGACCUGAUACCAAAUAAACACAGACCUGUUGUAGGCAUGCCUGUUAUUUCUGUUAAAAUAGGAGAUCAUUGUUAUCAUGGCUUAUGUGAUAUGGGUGCUAGUGCAAGUGCAAUACCUCAUUCCUUAUACAAAGAAAUUAUGCAUGAUAUUGCACCUGCUGAGAUAGAAGAAAUUGAUGUUGCAAUUAAGCUUGCCAACAGAUAUACUAUUUCACCAGUUGGGAUUGUUAGUGAUGUUGAAGUCUUGUGUGGGAAGGUUAAAUAUCCUGCCGAUUUUCUUGUUCUUGGUUCCCCACAAGAUAAAUUUUGUCCCAUUAUAUUUGGUAGACCCUUCUUGAAUACUGUUAAUGCUAGGAUAGACUGCAAAAAGGAUGUUGUUACUAUUGGUUUGGGGGAUAUGGCUCAUGAGUUUAAUUUUGCUAAAUUUCGUAGACAACCCCAUGAUAAAGAAUUGCCUAGUAAAGAUGAAAUUAUUGUUCUUGCUUCUAUUGCCGUACCUCCUAAUGAUCCGUUGGAACAAUAUCUGCUCGACCAUGAAAAUGAUAUGUUUAUGAAUGAAAGAAGGGAAAUAGAUGAAGUAUUCUUUAAACAGGGGCCUAUUUUGAAACACAACUUGGCUAUUGAAAUCCUAGGGGAUCCUCCUCCACCCAAGGGUGAUCCCGUGUUUGAGCUUAAACCAUCACCUGAUACUAUCAAAUAUGCUUAUCUUGAUAAGAAAAAGAUAUAUCAUGUUAUUAUUAAUGCUAACCUUUCAGAGCAUGAAGAAAAGAGAUUAUUGAAAACUCUUAAGAAGCACCGUGCUAAUAUUGGAUAUACUCUUGAUGAUCUUAAGGGCAUUAGUCCCACUCUAUGCCAAUGCAAAAUAAAAUUGGAGAAAGACGCUAAACCGGUUGUUGAUCACCAACGACGGUUAAAUCCUAAGAUGACAGAAGUGGUAAGAAAAGAAAUACUAAAGCUUCUGGAGGCAGGUAUAAUUUAUCCCGUUGCUGAUAGUCAGUGGGUAAGUCCUGUCCAUUGUGUCCCUAAGAAGGGAGGCAUUACGGUUGUCCCUAAUGAUAAGGAUGAAUUGAUCCCACAAAGAAUUGUUACAGGUUAUAGAAUGGUAAUUGAUUUCCGCAAACUAAAUAAAGCUACUAAAAAGGAUCAUUACCCUUUACCUUUUAUUGAUCAAAUGCUAGAAAGAUUAUCCAAACAUACACAUUUUUGCUUUCUAGACGGUUAUUAUGGUUUCUCUCAAAUACCUGUGUCAAAAGAGGAUCAAGAAAAGACCACUUUUACUUUCCCUUUCGGUACCUUUGCUUAUAGACAUAUGCCUUUUGGUUUAUGCAAUGCACAUGCUACCUUUCAAAGAUGCAUGAUGGCUAUAUUCUCUGAUUUUUGUGAAAAGAUUGUUGAGGUUUUCAUGGAUGAUUUCUCCGUAUAUGGAACUUCUUUUGAUGAUUGCUUGAGCAACCUUGAUCAAGUUUUGCAGAGAUGUGAAGAAACUAAUCUUGUCUUGAAUUGGGAAAAGUGCCACUUUAUGGUUAAUGAAGGUAUUGUCUUGGGGCAUAAAAUUUCUGAAAGAGGUAUUGAAGUUGAUAAAGCUAAAGUUGAUGCUAUUGAAAAGAUGCCGUGUCCCAAGGACAUUAAAGGUAUAAGAAGUUUCCUUGGUCAUGCCGGUUUUUAUAGGAGGUUCAUUAAGGACUUCUCUAAAAUAUCUAGGCCUCUGACUAAUCUCUUACAAAAAGAUGUUCCUUUUGUCUUUGAUGAUGAUUGUGUAGUAGCAUUUGAAAUACUUAAGAAAGCCUUGAUUUCUGCACCUAUUGUUCAGCCACCUGAUUGGAAUUUACCCUUUGAAAUUAUGUGUGAUGCUAGUGAUUAUGCAGUAGGUGCUGUUCUAGGACAAAGAGUUGAUAAGAAAUUAAAUGUUAUCCAAUAUGCUAGUAAAACUCUAGACAGUGCCCAGAGAAAUUAUGCUACUACUGAAAAAGAAUUUUUAGCAGUUGUAUUUGCUUGUGACAAGUUCAGGCCUUACAUUGUUGAUUCUAAAGUAACUAUUCACACUGAUCAUGCUGCUAUUAAAUAUCUUAUGUAAAAGAAAGAUGCUAAACCUAGACUUAUUAGAUGGGUUCUCCUACUACAAGAAUUUGAUUUGCAUAUUAUUGAUAGGAAGGGAGCUGAGAACCCUGUAGCAGACAACUUAUCUAGGUUAGAGAAUGUUCUUGAUGACCCACUACCUAGAGACGAUAGCUUUCCGGAUGAACAAUUAGCUGUCAUAAAUGCUUCUCGUACUACUCCAUGGUAUGCUGAUUAUGCUAAUUACAUUGUUGCUGAAUUUAUACCACCUAGUUUCACAUACCAGCAAAAGAAAAAGUUCUUUUAUGAUUUAAGACAUUACUUCUGGGAUGACCCACACCUUUAUAUUGAAGGAGUAGAUGGUGUCAUUAGACGUUGUGUACCUGAGCAUGAACAGGAACAGAUCCUACGCAAGUGUCACUCCGAGGCUUAUGGAGGACACCACGCUGGAGAUAGAACUGCACAUAAGGUAUUGCAAUCCGGUUUUUAUUGGCCUACUCUCUUCAAAGAUGCCCGUAAUUUGUCUUGUCUUGUGAUGAAUGUCAAAGAAUUGGUAAUAUAAGUAGACGCCAAGAAAUGCCUAUGAACUAUUCACUUGUUAUUGAACCAUUUGAUGUUUGGGGCUUUGAUUAUAUGGGACCGUUUCCUUCCUCUAAUGGGUAUACACAUAUUUUAGUUGCUGAUGAUUACAUUACUAAGUGGGUAGAAGCUAUUCCAACUAGUAGUGCUGAUCAUAACACCUCUAUUAAGAUGCUUAAAGAAGUUUAUUUUCCGAGGUUUGGAGUCCCUAGAUAUUUAAUGAUUGAUGGUGGUUCACAUUUUAUUCUUGGUGCCUUUCGUAAAAUGCUUGCUAAGUAUGAUGCACUACAAAAAAAGACACAUCCGUGACAUUUUGGGCCGAACGAAAUUUUUUUCUGUCAUACAUAUGACACUUCUAUGACGAUAAUUGUGACAAAACCCGGUAUCAUCAUAGAUGUGGUGGGCUCCUACUUCUAUGACAAAAAAUCAUGACAUAAAAUGGGCUUUUCGUCCUGGGCGGGCCGGAGACACAGCUGCAUGACAUUCUUUGGGCCGUCCAUGACGGAAAAAACCAUGGUAGAAGCGAGGGGGAGGAAAAUUUCGGGGAGUUCCCGGUUACGGUGGGAGGUCGGGGGCCGAGCGAUGCGCAUUUCUCUCGUACACGUACGCGCGUGUGUGCGAGGUGUUGGCUCUAACUGAACCCGAGCGAGGCAUUGGGCUCUAACUGAACCCGAGCGAUUGCACUGUAGGCUACGCGUUACUGAACCCGAGCGAUCGAUCGAUGGCUGUUAACUGAACCCAAUCGAGCGAUUCCUUCGCUACUGCUGCUAACUGAAGCCGAUCGAUUGGAUGAACAGUGAGCGUUGCGCGCGGGGCGGGGNNNNNNNNNNNNNNNNNNNNNNNNNNNNNNNNNNNNNNNNNNNNNNNNNNNNNNNNNNNNNNNNNNNNNNNNNNNNNNNNNNNNNNNNNNNNNNNNNNNNNNNNNNNNNNNNNNNNNNNNNNNNNNNNNNNNNNNNNNNNNNNNNNNNNNNNNNNNNNNNNNNNNNNNNNNNNNNNNNNNNNNNNNNNNNNNNNNNNNNNNNNNNNNNNNNNNNNNNNNNNNNNNNNNNNNNNNNNNNNNNNNNNNNNNNNNNNNNNNNNNNNNNNNNNNNNNNNNNNNNNNNNNNNNNNNNNNNNNNNNNNNNNNNNNNNNNNNNNNNNNNNNNNNNNNNNNNNNNNNNNNNNNNNNNNNNNNNNNNNNNNNNNNNNNNNNNNNNNNNNNNNNNNNNNNNNNNNNNNNNNNNNNNNNNNNNNNNNNNNNNNNNNNNNNNNNNNNNNNNNNNNNNNNNNNNNNNNNNNNNNNNNNNNNNNNNNNNNNNNNNNNNNNNNNNNNNNNNNNNNNNNNNNNNNNNNNNNNNNNNNNNNNNNNNNNNNNNNNNNNNNNNNNNNNNNNNNNNNNNNNNNNNNNNNNNNNNNNNNNNNNNNNNNNNNNNNNNCCCCGUUUCGAUCGUAGGAGGUCCGUUUCGUCCGUUUUGCGGUACGCCACACCCCUCCCGAUCAAAAGGACCCCCGUUUCGACCGUAGGAGGUCCGUUUCCUCCGUUUUGCGGUACGCCACACCCCUCCCGAUCAACAGGACCACGUUCCGAACGUAGGAGGUCCGUUUCCUCCGUUUUGCGGUACGCCAGGCCUCGUUUCCAUCUCAUGUUCCAUCCAAGCCCUCCCGAUGAACACGACCACGCAUUCCGUUCCGACCCAGCCGGUUGGCUCCCACGCGUUCCGUUGCCUCCCGAUGAACACGAUGCAUUCCGUUGCCUCCCCAUGAACACGACGCAUUCCGUUGCCUCCCCAUGAACACGACGACGACGCUAUUUCUUCGUUCCGACCCAGCCAUGUACACGAGCCCUGGCCGUACUUAUGCGCAAGUAGGCAUUCGAGACCCCGCCCGUAUGUACACAUACAUGGCCGUAUUUUCUUUCUUGCACCCUGGCCGCUGUACGUACGUGUACAUGCUACGUGCACGCCUCUACUACGACAUGUGCGCGCCUCUACAUCCACCAGUAUAUAUGUACGUGCAUGUUCGCGACCAGAAUGACAACGCUACGUACGCUUCGACCAGGUGGGUCCCUGUCAAGCACUUCCUUGCGUGCGAAGAUGUAGCUGGUGGGUCCCAGCAGUCAGGGGGGAAACGUUUUUUUCGCGAAAUACGGUGGCCCGUCCGGUGGGUCCCCGCUGUCAGGUGGAGGAAUAAUUAUUGUGCACGUAAUAAGGAGGCACUUCCUUGCUGCGGCCGUGGACCCAGCUGUCAGCCUCUCCACGUACAGUCCACGUCCGAUGGAAGCCGUUCCUUGACCACGUUGACCACGCAGUGCCGAGAGCACCAGGGCGGUGGACGACGGCGAGGCCUAGGAAGGGGACGACGCGGAGCCGGGGAAGACGCGACAGUGGAUGCCCGCGCGUAGAGGAGUACGAGGGUUCACUAGUUCGCUGCGGUGUGAGGCUGCCGUCGCCGCAGAAUAACAGGAGGUGUGGGUGAGUAGAGGGAUGGCCUGGCCAGCGGUGGGAGUAAUAGGGGGCGGUGAGGCCUCCGCCGCAUCGCAGCUGGCCACGGGAGGCAGCAGCACAAGGCACGAUCGACGCUGGUUUGGGCGGCUGGAGCAAGAAGACCAGAGGUUGAAGAAGCACUACGGCUGUUGGAUGGACAUCGUACGGUCACUGGAGCUAGAAUCGUGCAUAUUGACUAAGUUGACAAAGCCCUCCGUCCCCGUCAACUUAAUAGGCCCACAAGUCAGCCUGCCAGUAUACUGGGUCCCAGCUAAUAGGGGGAGUAUUCAUUUUUUUGUGCGUAAUAAGGAGGCACUUCCUUGCGUGCGAAGAUAUAGCUGGUGGGUCUGAGGUGUCAGCGGCGGUAAUGUUUUUUUCGCGAAAUACAGAGGCCCUUUUGGUGGGUCCCUGAUGUCAGGUGGAGGAACCAUUAUUUUGCGCGUAAUAAGGAGGCAUUUCCUUGCGUGCGGCUGUGGACCCAGCUGUCGGCCUCUCCACGUACAGUCCACUUCAGAUGCAUGUCGGUCGUUGACCAUGUUGACCAGGCCGUGCCGAGAGCACCAGGGCGGUGGACGACGGCGAGGCCUAGGAAGGGAACGACACGGGGGCAGGGAAGACUCGGCAGUUGUUUCCCACGCGGAGGGGAGUAUGACUGUACGAGGGUUUACUGGUUCGUCUGCCGUUGCCGGAGAAUAACAAUAGGUGUGGGUGAGUAGAGGGAUGGCUAGGCCAGCAAUGGGAGUACGGUGGGGCGGUGAGGCCUGCGCGGCAGCAGAGCCGGCCGCGGGGAGGAGGGAGCAGGCAGUUCCGCCGGCGCUUGUUUGAGCGGCUGGAGCAGGAAGAGCAGAGAUUGAAGAAGCACGACGGCCGUUGGAUGGCCAUCCAACAGUCACUGCUUGUGCGUCAACCUUUUUCUUUAGGAAAGGCUCAAAUCUGUGGAAAACAACAUACAACCCAUUUGCCAUUAUUUCUAAUAAUUUACAGCCCAUUUGCUAAUUAUUAAGGUUUUUUUUGGAGCCCAUAUUCUUUUUGUUAGCAUUAUAGCCCAUAUUGUGGCCACGGUUAAAAAAUUAUACGAAAUUUUGCAUAUUUUGGUGCGGUCCGAACUGUUUUUAAUCCCGAAAUUUCGACUCACAUUCAAACUGAUUUUAAAAAUAAAUGUAUAUCAAUAUAAAAUCAAACAAAUUCUCCACGCAUAAAAAUUAAUGUAAUUCAAAAUCUCGAAAUGAAAAAAAGAUAUUUGAAACUAAUUGCCGGUUUGAUGUGUUUUAAAAAUGUACAUCCCAUUUCUCAUUAUUGAUGGGCCAUUUUCUCGGCCAGCCGAAUGAAAGCUCUCCUUGUCUUGAAAGAUUUGCAGCCCAACAGGCCUGACAAAGCGACUUACUUGGCAAAUCACAAAAAAAACUGGGCUGUGGCCGUGGACCCAGCUGUCAGCCUCUCCACGUACAGUACUCUUCCGAUGGAAUGCCGUUGACCACGUUGACCACGCCGCGCCAAGAGCACCAAGGCGGUGGACGACGGCGAGGCCUAGGAAGGGGACGACGCGGAGCCGGGGAAGACGCGGCAGUGGAUGCCCACGCGGAGAGGAGUACGAGGGUUCACUGGUUUGGCUGCGAUGUGAGGCUGCCGUCGCCGCAGGGCCUGGCUAGCGGUGGGAGUAGUACAGGCGAUGAGGCCUCAACGGCAGCACAGCCGGCCACUGGAGGCAGGAGCAGGCUGUCUCCCCGGCGCUGGUUUGGGCGGCUGGUGCAAGAAGAGCAGCGAUUGAAGAAGCGGCAGGACCGUUCGAUUCAAAUCCAACGGUUACUGCUGCUAGAAUCGUUUGUUGACUAAGUUGACAAGCCCGGCGUACGCGUCAACUUAGUAGGCCCACAGGUCAGCCUCCCAACCGGUGCGCCCCAGAUGUCAGUGGGAGGAAUCAUUUUUUUCGCGUAAUAAGGAGGCAGUUGAUUGCAUGCGGCCAGGCCAGCGGAGGGAGUAGGGUGGGCCGGCGAAGCCUGCGCGGCAUCACAGCGGGCCACAAGAGGAGGGAGCAAGCAGUCCCGCCGGCGCUAGUUUAGGCGGCUGGAGCAGGAAGAUCAGAGAUUGAAGAAGCACGUCGGCCGUUGGAUGGACAUCCAACAGUCACUGCUGCUAGAAUCGUGUGUUCACUGACAAAGCCUUGCGUAAACAAGUCAGCCUCGAAAUCUGUGGCGUGUACAGCCCAUUUGCUAUUAUUUAUAAUUUUUACUCAUUUUCUAAUACCUAUGGAAUUUAUUGCAGCCCGUUUUCCAUUUUUAGAAUUGCUGGCCAUUUUCUAGUCAGUACCAGGGUCAAAAAAUUAACUAAAUAUGUGGGAAAUUUUGAAAAUUCGCAAAUUUUUGCUGGGGAACGAAAUAUUCUUAAUCCAAAAAUUAAUAGCCAUACUAAAACAAAUUUAAAAAUAAAUUAGUACCAUGUCAUGUUAAAUCCAAUGAAAUCGUAUAAGAUAUCAGUGAAGAACAAAAACAAAAAAAGAAACUUAUAUCCCAUUUGCUAUAAUUUUUUUGGAAUUUUCAACCCCUUUUGAUAUUACUUUUAACAGACAUUGACCAUACUCUUAAGCCAGGCCGGAAUGCAUCCCUCCUCGUCUUGAAAGAUUUGCAGCCCAGUAAUUCAGAGAAAACAAAUAGGCCUAGCUUGGGUAUUCUUCAAAAAGAAAUACUGGGCUACCUAUUUUCCCAAAGAACUGGUGCAUGAGCAUUUAGCUUUAUUUAUUUAUUUAUUUAUUUGCUUAUUUAUGUUUAGGGGACCAUGAGCAUGUACCUGGGUCGGAUUCAUGUGAGAGCCUCCCUUCUAGUUAAUUAUGGGCUUCUCUAUUGGGCCUUCAUCAGUGGGCUGCAUGUUAUCAACAAGUGGAAAAUGUGUUCCGUAUGAAAAAUAGUAUGCGCUACGUACGGUACGGGGCACUAAAGGAUCGAACCGUGCAACGACUUCCAAAACAUUGUGUUUGUCAUUCUAACAACACAUUUAUUCAACCAACAGACGAAAUAUACUACUGAUUGUAUAUUGAAAACGGCAGUAGCAGCAACCAGGGCUGGGGGUGCAACAGAAGCAGUAAACAGGCCAGAAGAGUGAAGAUGCAGCUCUCUCUUCCAAACCAAACAUCAGCCAUCAUUACAAAAGGGCUACCAAAAAAGAACAAGUGUAUGCAUCAAACUAAAUAAAGAUCCUACUACACCAAGUGUACGCAUCUAACUAACUGGCUCAGUUAGACGUUACUAUUUAUUAAGCUGUGGAGAUUGGCUGACGGCUUGAACCAGAUGGGUGCCUGACGGGGGAAACUCCAGCCAGCAGGUUGAAGUCUGAUACUUGCGACCCUCUCUCCUACUUUGGGCUGCAGAGCGUGGCGGCACAUAUCAGGGUAUGGUGCAUGCAGAGACGCAUGGUACGCUGUGUACACACAGUUUUGCCUGAUGAACGAAACCGCACUGCCAUCAUGAUCCUUGCCAUCGGUUAUCACCUGGUUAAUUGGAUAAUUCAGUCUGACAAAUAGAGAGCGUGUACCAAGGCUACUUACCAGCCUCCAGUCAAAAAUUCCUGAAGGCCCAGAGAAGCUGGGAUCCUGCUCAAAGACCUUGCAGUGACUGUGAUUGUAUUCUGCGAAACAACACGUCCGGUACGUGCGAACGAUCAUCAAUCUUUCGCCGUCGUCUGAUCGAGCCAGGAACCACCUGCAACUGCCAUGCCGCUUUUCUUUGAAAGGUUCUGGGAUUAGGAAGGGUAGGGACACCAGGCGGCCUACAACAUCAUAUCAAGUUGGAGUCAAAUAAAAAAGGGCUCUUGAUUUUGUCAAUCUUAAGAACAGCAUGUUAUGAGCAUGAAUAUUUUUUCAGCAAAUGUUGACAGUAAUAUAAGCAAGCCAUCAUGAUAUCAUAGAAAAGUAACAUACUGCUGUAACAGCCGUUUGUAGCGAUGACUGGAGUAUGCCAGCAAUACGUCCAGCCAUAGAAGGAGUCGACAGCGUAAAUGAAGCCCUUGUGUUCAAUGGCAUCAGAGAACCAUGGAGGAUGUAUGAUCCUGCGAUGGACGUGCAGAUUUAUCAACUUACCGCAGUGACCUGUCAGAUAGGCGAGACCGCGGUUGAAGAACACAAUUAGCCUGAAGUCUUUAUAAUUCGCAGAUCUUGUGGGCACUUGGCAGAUUACAACCUUGAGCAAAUCAAACUUGGUAUCAUGUUGGCUACUGUAAGAUUCCGAGUAUUCUGGGCCGCGGUGCCAAAGCAGUGCAGUGUUAAUCGAAGGAAGGGAGAUCAAUCACCGGGUGUAGACCUCCACGAGCAUCCAGCUGCCGCGAUCGUCGACGAGCACCAUCCAAGACGUGUUCAUGCCGACCUAGUACAUACCGUUAAUGUAGUUGAGGCUGGCGGGGAUCAGAUCGCAGUCAAGGGGGUUGGUGCUCGCCACCCUACGAUCGUUAUGCUACGUGACACGCCGUUUCUGAAGAUCAGGCGGCAUCAGCAAGCAAGGAGCUGGCUUAAAAAGCUCCGGCCUAAGGGCUUUGAGUAAACGGUACAACCCCGACGAGCACGCGGCGAGCGGCAUGGUACUGAGAUUGUCCACACGCGAAACAAUGAGCUUGAUUACCUCUGUGGGGAGCGAAUUCCAGCUACUCUUUCGGCGGAUGCUGCUCGGUUCUGCCAUUGUUAGUGCUUGGGUUUCAGACGAGGGGGGAGGCGCCUUAGCGGGGAUGGAAGAUUGGACGAGAUUAUGUGCGGACAAAGAUGUAGAAGCGAAUAUGUGCUGCGGGAAGUGGACAGGUGAUGAUGACUACAGCACGCCGCUUGACUUACGAGACACAUACCAGAAGCGUAGGGUCAUGUCGAUGCCAGACAACUUGCUUGAGUGAUCACAGUACUGGUACUCCCUAUAGUGCUAUGCCCUAACUUGCUUGAGUAGAGUAGUAGAGUAGGACUCUGCUCUACUACUAGCACCGGAGGAGUAGUAUAUUCUAAUCUAAAAUAGUUACAAACUUCAAUGCCCGAGCGUGGAAUGACUACGAACCGUGCUCAAAGACCGUGUCUACGUGGUGUUUGGACAUGGGCGACAACCUCAACGCCAACGGUGCUGCUCUCGUUGCACCGUAUGUGUUUCUGUCCUUCCUGUUCGAAAUCGUGGUAGAAUUCAUGUUUCUACUCUGUAUCCUACUACUAUGCUAGUCCACAUGAUUAGUUUCAUCUCUGUUAUAGGCGUCAUGAUUUAUUUUGUGCUUAUUCGGAUUAAAUCUCGUAGUAACUUGCUCAUAUAUUAAACUGGCGCAACGUCCCCUACAGCCACUCCCGUUUCAUGGACGGCCUGGUCGAUGCCUCCAAGGAGCCCUUCAUCCACUGCUAUGAGUGCCCGAUGCCGUUUUGUGGCUCGCCGGUGGACAUGGUGCAUCACCUCACGGAUGCGUGCAGCGGUCACUGCUAGCCCUUGGCGGAGAACAUCAAGUACGAGACGUGCUACCCGUUCACCAUGCCAGAGUCGCUGGAGGAUCACCGCCGCCUGCUAGUCUCGGAGGAGGACUGCAGCGUCUUCCUCUUGAUCGUGGGCACCGGUGAGGCCCGUGCAGGCCGCCGCCCCAUCUCUGUAAUGUGCGUCAGCGGCACUGACACGAGGCCGAUGUAUGGGUGCAUGGUCAGUGUUACUACCCCUCCGGGUCGCGUGGGCGGCGACACCAGCCUCAUCGAACGGACUUGGACUCUCGGGAGCUGGGACUAUCCCGCCAAUGUGGACUUGGAAAACCCAUGGCAUCCUUUACCCGCCGACGCGGUGCACGGGGACUCCAAGGAGGUUCACCUGGACAUACACAUUAUCAAGUUAAAUGUUGAUCAUUAGUCUUCGCUCAAUGUAAUCCGCUGUCUAAGCAUGUGGAGACUUCCAUGCAGGAUCUUGCUCUAUUGGAGUAUCGCGCAUGAAUAAAAGUGUAUCCGUUUAUGGUUUAGUCUAGAAUCUUCCAUGUAUGAAUUUUUACUACAGUACUGGUGAAAGACUUACGAUGAACCAUUUCUUACAUCUCCUCUGCCCGCUUGCAAGUCAUCCUGAUUUAAUCCCUCCGUCUAGGUGUAUAAGGGCAUGGUUAAUAUUACUUAAUAGUAUAGCCAACUGUUGAGUAUAAGAAAGUGCCAUGUCAUCUAUAGCCAACAUGUAUAACAAUCGAUACUCAAAAACUAAUUCUUAAAGAUCAUUUCUUGCAAAGCACAAUAAGUGUUAUUUCUUCACAAGUUUUGGAUGCAGGUUGAACAGUUGAACGCUUUUGUUUGCAAAAGAUACCUUUUUUAUCUAUUUCACCCGGAUGUUUGUGAGCUCUAGAGAUGAAAUAAUAUCCAAAGAAACCUAUCGAUACCCAUUACACAUGAGAUGACCCCCACAUCCUUUGUCAAAAUAAACAACUCCCCGAUCAAUGCCUUUCACUCUUUGGUGCAACUAUAGAUUAGUACGACCAAAAAUUGAACUAACAUUAUAUAUAGUAUGAUAAAUGCUGAUGCAUGUCACCUAAAAUUAUAUCAUUCAAAACUAUGUUCAAAUACGAAUCCAACGAUAUAGUUUUUGUUGACAUGCACUAAGAUUUUGUUAGUUAAAUCUUCAGUCAAAUUUAAUGGGGGACUAAUAAACCACGACCGAUGUAGUACAAGUGUAGAGGGCGGCGCUGCACGGGAGUCUCACCUCUCACCCUGCUCGUGGCGCGGCAGUAAAGCCGUCAUAUCACAAAACCCAACCACUCCCAGUAAUAAGUGGCCUGGUAAAAUAAACGGACAAGCAACCAUCACAUCCCUCCGUCUUUUUUGCAUUUCAUCUCUCUGCAUUUACUUUCUCCGGUUCAUCUCGCACACUCGAUCCCUAGCUACUACUCCUAGGGUCAGUUCUUUUGGCGGCUUCCCCAGCUUUUCCCACAAGACUAGUCACAGUGGAGAGUAACAAUAAGGCGCCUCACUCAUUUAUUUGGGCUUCUAAACUACUACUCCGUCCUGGUUUAUUCCUCACCAUUGUAAUUUGUGCUAAAUUUUGACCAAAGAUUUAACUGGUUUAUUCCUCACCAUUGUAAUCUCUCCGUCUAGGUGUGUAAGUCAUCUUACGAAAACCAAAUAAUCCCAAAACACUUAGGCGCGGUGCAUUAACUUCUACCUCGUUUCUUGUUUCUUGACAUAUCAACCAAUAAGAGAUAAAGAGUGUGCAUGCUUUUAAUGACUUGAGAUAUCAAACACAACAUGCAGUGGUUAGUUCAUUGCAUGCAAUUCUAUUAAUUAGCAAAUAAACAUUAACGUUUCUCGUUUUCUCCUCCUCCUUGGUCACGGUGCACAGCCUAAGAUGACUUGCUCACCUAGACGGAUGGAGUAGUGCAUGUGACAUGCACUAACAUUUCAUUAGUUAAAUUUAUGAUCAAAAUUUGACACAGAUUACAAUGGGGACCAAUAAACUAGGACGGAGGUAGUAGUUAUGGGAUUACUAAUCUAGAAGCCUAAAAGAACUGGCCCCUGGUACUCCUACUAGUAGUAGUACUCAAGUUGGAAUUCCAAUUGCACGGCACAACUUGUUAGGCAAAAAAUUCGAUACAGGGUGUAGGAAGCAGUUUGGGAAUUUGCAUGCCUUUCCAACCAGUGAGAUACUUCGUACAAAGUAUGACAGAGAAAUAACCACAGAGAAGGAAGCUAAAAGUAAACAAUCAAACGAGCAUUUUUGCAUUUGUUUUGCAUUGAAUCGUUUCACAAGCUUGACUAGUGCUGUUUUUCUACUUUUACAAAAACCGCAUCGUAAUGUUAAAACGUGCAUUUGCACGUACAUAAGUAAUAGUAGUACUCCCUCCGUCUAGGUGUAUAAGUCUUCCCUCCUUCUUGGUCACGGUGCACAACCAAAGAUGACUUAUUGACCCUGGUGCGCGGCCGUUUCCCAGCGCGCCGACACAACGCCUCUUCCUCAGCCUCGCAACUCGCGAGGUGCUAAUUGGCGGCUUGCCGGCGGGCGAGCGCGAUCUCACCGGUGUGGUGAUCUGGCGCCAACAGGUACUCCUCCUCGCUGGAAGCGUGCACCAGGUCCACGUACCGCCAAGCAUAGAUGAGGCGCCUGGGCCCGACUGCACUCAGAGCGUCAGCACGGGCGUCCUCCGCCACCCUCACGGCCCUCGCACGAGCCUUCUGCCAAAGAGCCAAUUGCCUGACUCUCUCGGACGCGACAUAGGCCUCCCAGACAGCUUGUUCCGCGGUGCGCUUCUCUUCCUCGGCCUUCUUCUCCGCCUCUAUUUUGGCGUGCUCUGCUGGAGGCAAAGCCUCCCACAAGGCGACAUCCAUUUCUUUCCAAAGCUCCUCAAGGAUGGGGGGGCUCGGCGGGCGGCGCGGCGUUCUCCUGGUAGCGGGGAGCCGACGCGUCCUCCGGCGCGCGUGCUGGCGAGAUUGGGAACGCCGACGCGUCCACCUCGACGUGUCGCGGUGAGGAGCGGAACGCCGACGCGUCCUCCUCGACUAGUGGCGUCGAGGAAUGGAACGGCGACGCGUCGCGUCGCGGCGAGGAGUGGAACGGCGACGCGUCCUCCUCGACUAGUGGCGGCGAGGAACGGAACGGCGACGCGUCGCGUAGCGGCGAGGAGCGGAACACUGACGCGUCCUCCUCGACUAGUGGCGGCGAGGAACAGAACGGCGACGCGUGACCGUCCGCGCGGUGCAGCGAGGGGCUCCUAGGGCUUGGGAGGGGCGAUGCCAUGGUGGUCGACGUGAGAGGGAGGGGGAGGAGAUAGCGAUGAAUGUGAAUGUGAGGGGGAGGAGAUAGCGAUGUCGUGGGAGGAGCAGUAUUUAUAGCGAGCAAUGGCACACCUACGUAAGAUAUGGACUGAGCUGCACUGACUUAACUGCAGGUCCAGUUGCGUCACUGGCAUGUGGGCCAGACCCCUGUUGGGCCCAUAUGUUAGUGACCCAAUGCACCUGCAGUUAAGUAACAGCUACGUGGGCAUAUUUGUUGGAGUAAAUUACGGGGGAGCGAAGGGGUGGAAAUAUUGCUGGUCACAACGGAUUGGAUGAGCGUGGGGUGAGGAGAGUCAUGCAUGCAGAUUUUUUUCACACAGGGUGGAGUGGUGGGACCGCCGGAGGGAGAAGGAGAGUUUGGCAGGCAUAUUGUUUCCACACAUGGAGAUGAAAAGAUUUGGAGACGAACAGGCAUCCUGCAGGUAUGGGGAAUGGUGCAUAAUAAGUCAUCUUGCAUGCCGGGCUAGGUAUAGUCUCAAGUCAUUAAAAACAUACACGCCCCACACAUGUUCAUAUUUCAAGGUGCACUAAAUUAUUGCAUGCGAUGAUUAAGGCUGUCCAUAAUGGUGGUAUCUUAGCUGGUAUCAUGCACACAGGAAUAGUAAACAUGCUGAUGUGGCAAAGAAUUAAAGAAGAGAGGGGGGUUAGAGUAACUAGUGUUCAUGCAUGCAUUGGUAAACACAUUUUUUUUGUGAAGAACGACAACACUAGUUGAGUACUUUUGUAGACUUCAAAAACUAUUCCACCGCCUCUACUAUCUUGCUAAGAGUGGGUGAAAAUUUUGAAUCGAGCCCUUUAAACUAGAAGGGAGGUAGUGGUACUCUAAGGCUGGUCAUAGGGGGGAGUAACUUAGACUAGUAACAUGCAUAUGUUACUAGUCUAUGUUACUACCUCUAUAGUGCAUAGUAUCAUAGAUUAGUAUCAUAGGUGGUCUCAUUUAUUGCCAUGCAUGACACAUAGUAGCACCACAUUUAUUAUGUUACGGUAUCUACCUAUGUUACUAUAACCAUCUCUCUCUUCUUUAAUUGCCUACCACAUUAGCAUGUUUGCGAGUCCCAAGUGCAUGAUACUACUUAUGUUACCCCCACUAUGGCCAGCCUAAUAGCUAACCUUGUUGUGAUGACAAGAUAGGACAUGGCACGCACCUGGACGGAGGAACUAGUCUGCAUUGUGCAUUUAAGUUUUGUCUGAAGUUAAUGUACCUCUACUUUCACCAGACUUAUAGAAAAAUGUGUCAACAUUCACAAUGUCAAAUCAAUAUUUUUACACUCAUUAUAAAACGUAGUUCUUAUACUCAUUAUAAUCAGUAUUGUAGAUAUUGAUAUUUUUAGUAUAAAUUUGGUCGUGGGAUUUCAUUGAUGCCUGUCAAAGCGUGGAGGAAGCGGAGCUUAGGGCUUGCAUUGCCGGUCUCUACAUAGGUAUUUCUCUUCGUAAUCCUAUAAUUUUAGAGACCGAUUGCGCUUUUUUGGUAGCAUCUCUUGCAUCGUGGGACUAUGACAAGUCUGCUAUGCGUGACCUGAAGAUGAAAGCGUUGAGCAUCUCGAAGUUGAUCAACAAUCUUCAAUUGUCAAAGAUUAGCCGUUCGGCCAAUAAGGUGGCACACUUAAUCGCUAAGUAUAGCUUUGACAAUUAGAUGGUAUUCUUGUAAAUAACGUACCGCCGUGUGUUGUGAAUAUUGUAUCGAAUGAGUGUACUGGUGUGGCUGGUUAAUUAAUAUAAGGUGGUGUUCAAAAAAGUAUAAAUUUGGUCAAACACUUUGCAAACAGUUGACAGGAGUAAAAAGGACCAGAGGGAGUAUCAUGCAUGUGGAGUAGGCAAAAAAAUUGCUUGUCUAAAAAAAGGCAAAAAAAUUGCUCAUUUAUAGCCAGUCGAAGUCUCAAAGGGCGCGACCGUGCGAGAGAGGCGAAGGUCGUGGGAGGCGCGACGUUUGACGGAAUUAAGUGAAGUUACAUCCACGCGCCGGCAUGGCGUGCGAACAGGCAGAAGCUAUACCGUCAGGUCUACGAUAUGGGUCUAGUAGACAUGACAUCUAGUGGGUCCCGCAUAGUUCUCGAGAACUCUUUGGGGGCUUGCAGCCGUUUAUCCACCGGGCAAGCCAGCAACCCCACGCCGUUCGCACGCCCUACUCAUCCCCGUCUUGUACCUUACAAUAGUUCGCUCCCAGUCGUCCCGUCCUUUCACAUUAGUUCGCUCCCAGUUUUUUUUGCGGGGUACAACAGCUCAACUUCUCCUAACCCUCCUCCAAAAUCCAUGGCCUCCCAAAUCUCCAUGGUCGCCGCUGAGUACCAGGUUAGAGCCAUCACCGGCGAUCAGUUCAUCGUCAUCUACACACGUGGAUCCGAGACGGUGAAAGCAUGGCUUGCUCGCUUCCUACGCAUGUUCAACAGUUCAACGGAUGAGUGGGUCGCUGGGCUAGAUGUUGAGUACACCAUAGUCCUGGGACGAGAGAAGGAUCUAAAGGACGAAGAGAGGAAGAAGCCCGCCGUGAUCCAGGUUUGCAUACAUAACGUUUGCUUGGUCUACCACAUAUGCCAUGCCGACGUUGAGUGCCAGGAUUUUAAGAACUUCCUCAAGGACAAAAGAGUGAAAUUCGUUACUGUAGGCUUUAAGAACGACAGGGAUGUCCUGCGUCGGAUAGGUCUCGUUGUAGGCCAGCCCUUCGAUCUCCAGAAGGCAAGCCUGGUGACCUCCUCUCAACCUUCAAUGCUGACCCUGGCAGCAGCCAUGAUUGAUCCUUCGUACGCUAAACUGAAGAAACCUCAUCACGAGUUUCAUCAUUCUUGGGAGUCGAAGACAUUAGAUGAAGAUCACAUCCUGUAUGCAUCAAUGGAUGCCUAGCUUUGUUUAAAUAUCUACAAGGGUUGGAUGAAGAAGCAGAGCCCAGUGUCCGGUGCAUGCAAAGAAGCGUCGGCGAAGAGGAAGAGGAAGAGGGACGAGGACGAAGUCGAGGACGUGGACUCGGACUCCGAGUAGGUGGCAGUGCCGUCGCUCAUGCUGGUUCUACUGCAGUGUCAAGCGGACUAGUUGCUUAGUUUAUUUUCAAGGGUGUGUUGUGCUGAGGCCCCAAUAGAACUAUGUUUAUGUUCUUUCUCGUUAUUUGAACUCUUUAGUACGUACAGUAGUACUAGUACUAUGUCUUACUACUGUUCUUCUUGCAGUUGGUACUACUGCUCGUAUCUUCGUGUUCCUACUAUACUUAAUACAUUCGUACUAGUAGUAUAAUUUGGGUCAGUCGAUUUGUGAAAGAAGUUCGACGGAGCAAAGGAAGAAGACGGCAGAAGAGGUGGAAGAAGCCCUUCUAGCCAUCCAUGUUGCAUCAAACGGCUCACAUGAGUGGACUGACCCAAAUUGCUCCUUCAGAUUGCAGGAUCCACGUGGCAUUCAAGGUCUCGAAGGUAGAUUCCGCGUCCGCACCCGGUUUGCGGGCUCGCCGCGCGCGCGACCGGCUUCCGCCACGACAGCCACCAUGCGUGCCUCCUCCGCGCGGGCGGAGACGACAAUGACACGCUAUUCCUCCUCGCCGGCGUGCUGGAGCAUGCGCUCGUCCUCCUCUUCGUAUGCUGCGUGCAUAGACGUGGCUCCACCAGCUGCUCGCGUGCUUGGCAGCGCGGUGGCAUCGCGAGGAGGAACUGCAGACGACGUGAGUGGGCGAGCCUUCGGCUUCAUGGCACAGGGAUGGCGGCGACACGACGGUGAUGGGCGAGAAAUUGUUGGCCAGAGCAGGCGGGCGCCGGCAUGCGCAACGGCGGCGGCGGCAUAUUGAUGAGUGCGCGUGUGGGAGCUUACUUUAGUUUUAUAUAUAAGGUUGGUCAAACUUAAAAGAAUACCGUACUAGUACACGUAAACAUUAGACUUAGGUAGCGCUUUUAUUAGUUAGUACCACAGCCACGAUACGGAAUCCUGUGCAAGCGCGUGAACCGCGGCCGCGCGGUCGAUUGAAUGGUGCGUCACCAUGUCGCGCUCGAAGGGCAUCCACCGAACCUUUUUGUGUGUGUGAAAACAAUCCUCGAAUAUUACUCAACUUGUUUUUCCUGUGAAAGGUCUUGACCCUGCAAUAUUUCCAUAUAUUUGAAUUUAGCUCCAGUUCGUGUUUAUUUGGAUUUGGACGUUUUAGGUGCUCCCUAGUUUUUUUUUAAUACUGAUUUUGUGUGUGUGACUGAGAGAGAACGUGUGUAUGUGUCCAUAUGUUUGUUGUGGCGGAAGGGCAAUGUGGAGACGGUGUGCGUGUGAUACAGACAUAGAGAGGUGUGAAUGUGCAAAUGAUCAUGCAUGAGUGAGACAUAGACAGAUGCCGAUACGUUGUGUAUACAUGAGAGAACGGUCUUCUAGUUUACUUGUGUGUGUGUGUGAGAGAGAGAGAGAGAGAGAGAGAGAGAGAGAGGGAGAGAGAGAGAGAGAGACAGAGAGAGGAGCAUCCGUAACACAACAACCAUCUCUCUUGAUUCAUCCGUCCCUCGCACGGUCGCAUGCAACACAUGCAUCAACGCGCACAUUUUGACACCCUCACCCGGCCCCUACCCACCUCAAGGCCCGCACAAUCUCUUCGUGAAUACCCAUUUCUCUCCUUAGGUUUGUUUUCUCUCAAUAUCUGACACACACACACACACACAGAGAGAGACACACGCAGCACAACACACACACACACACACACUCCCCCGAGCACACAAUUCAUCCCCAUCCAAGGUUAUACGGCGACCACUCUCGCUUGUGCUUCUUUGCACCCCAACAUGCACAACACCUCAAUCUUCAAAGAGGGCAUCGAGCAGAUCGAAGACGGCGACCACACCGUGCUAGAGAAUGCGGGGUCAUUUGGAAGCAGGGUGAUGUGACGACGGCUGACUGACUCCUCCCCCCACCCUCUCUCUCUCCCCCGCACAAAAUUACCAAUCCCUCUCUCCCCCACACAAAAUUGUCAAUCCCUCAACCCACGAGAUCCUUCCCCUCUCGUCCAUCUUUUUCCAGCUCUCUCAUCAAACAUGUUGUCUCUUCUCCUUCCACGUAUACAGAAUCCAGAUGCACACGCAUCUCAUGUAUAUUACAUGUAUCCAUCUUUCUCACAGACCUAACUUCUUCCUCUCUCUUUCUCUCUCUAUCUCUCUCUCUCUGUCUCGUUAGGUUUGUCUCCUACUCUCUCGUCCACAUACAUACAAUCUUUCCCGCCCUAUCUGCUCCAUCUUCAAAACCUCUCUCUGCACGUUUCAUUCACACAUUGGGAUAUGUCAAAAUGUUGCUUCUAUAAUGGCUGAUGUAGAGUUAUGGUUGUUUUUGUUGCAUCCUACAAAGUAAUAACUAUGAAAUGCAUUUAGAUUCUCAUUUGACUGGGAUUAUGUGAGCUUGAGCAUGUUGUGAAGUACUAUAGACCUUGUAUACAUCAUGGGAUUCGACAAUGAUUGUAACUAUUGAAUUGUAUAGACCAUUACAUUCGAAGUCAAUAGCCUAAUAUAUUUACUUCACAAUUUCAACAAAUGAUUAGUUCACUACAAACUAAGAAAACAAAUGUGUACUCCCUCUGUUUUUAUUUAAGUCCGCGUAUUAACAUUGGUCAAAGUCAAGUUUUGUAAACUCUCAGAAAGCUUUUAACAAAAAUAUAUUAACAUAUACAAUAACAAAUAAAUACCAUUAGAUUCAUUAUUGAAUGUACUUUCACAUCAUACAUAUUUGUUAUGGUAAAUGUUUAUAUUUUUCUAUAAACUUGGUCGAACUUUAGGAAGUUUGACUUCGGUCAAACCUAAUAUGCAGAGUUUACUACUACUACUCGCUAGUUGCUUAGCCGAAUCACUCAACACGCCACACGGGGAGUCCAGUGUCACAAAAUUUUGAGGUCGGCGGGAAAAGCUCCCGCGACCCUGAUUCGAGCAGUGGGAAGUUACCAUCAUAGCCUUCGGAACAGGCCUACGGAUGACGCUUGGUAGGGGGCUAUUUUCGUAACUUCAGGUUCACCCUACCCAGCCAACCCCACCCCGGCACCCAAAGUAGUACACCUGAAUACUCCCCAUUUUCUAUCCCCACCGCAAAAUAGACUUCUCCACGGCACCGCAACCUUCGUGCUCCUCCCCUUUACAUCGGCGCACUCGUCCACCGCAGCGCAUCUGCCUCAUCGAUGACCUCGUACGCCGCACUGGAGCCGGUCCACCAUCGUCGUCGUACACGGAGCCUCUUCCCAGGCAUCGUCUUCCACGGUCUCGGAUCUGCUUCCCGGAAACUGACGCCAAGCGUAAAAGUACCACCGUCAUGAACAAUGAACUGACUCCCGUUGCCGACCAUGACUCACAGAGGCCGCCACGACCAUCGUUCUCCUCCUCGAUUGGUAAUGUGUGUAUUGAAUCACUUAGCAGUACAUGUGCAGUUCCAAUUUUGUUCAUACCUACCCUUCAAAUUUCCUGGGUGCUAUUGUUCCCGUAAAAGUAAUUGGUUAUAGCCUCCAUUGUCUAACAGAAUAUCAGCUUGUAAUUGUGCGUCGCUCCUGUAUUGCGCUAUGCUUGGGUUGGUUUUUCAUCUGCAACCAGUAGUGUGGCAAAUGAUGGAAAGGUUUUUAGAAGUAGCAAGAUGCCCAUGCGUUGCACGCAUCAAGUUGCAUUUGUAUGAGUAGUUUAUCUUGUGGGAGAAAAGGAUGAACGAGGGAAGGCCUUAUUUGCAAAUCUAGAGAGGGGUAUGGGUAUCUUUCUGCAAAAUUCCCAUUUGUUUCCUUCCUAUCUGUCAGAUAUAAAUCGGACGGCCUAUAUUGCAAGAAAAAAAGUAUAGAGAAAAAAGUAGACAGUAAAGGAAGUAGAGAUAAAUAUUAAAUAUUAAAUAUAAAAUAAAUAUAACAGUAGAGAAGAGAGUAGAGAUAGCAGAGACGUCAGGAAAGGAUCGCGCGCUCGGGAAAAAGCGGCCGGGCGUGCGCUAGUUUUGGCACGCGGCGUCUGGCGCGCUAUAUAAAAUCCAACGCCCUCCCACCGCUCUGUGUCUUUCCACCGCUCUCUCCCCGCUCUGUGCCUCGCCACCGCUCUCUCCCCGCUCUUUUUUGCCUCGCCGCCGCCGCGCCACCAUGCCGCCGCGUCGCCGGGAAACUUGGGGAUACCGCGGCGUCCGCGCGCGCCCCUCCGGCGGCUUCUCCGCCGAGACCCGGUUCCGCGGGAUGCGCCUCGGCCUCGGCAAUUUUGACACGGCCAACAAGGCCGCCCGCGCGUACGACGCGGCGGUGUGGCGCCUCCGGUGGCCUCAUAGAACAUUGAACUUCCCCAACGUGCCGAUGCGGGAGCGGGUGGAGGAGCUCGCGCCUCUGCCGCAGCUUAGCAUCGACGAGGAUCGUCGCGACAACCGGAGGCGGGAGCAUCGUCUCGGCAUCACCGAGACGGACGAGGAAGCCAUGGCGCUGUGGCGCCAACACUUCCCGCAGGACAUCAUCAACGAGCGCGAGUUCUACGCGCAAAGGAGGGCGGAGAGGGAUAAGAGGAGGGCGGAGCGAGCUGCCUAUCGCGAGGACAAGCGUAGGUGAAAAGCAGACGCUCAAUUCAACAUGAGGCUAGGAGCAGCAUCGCCCUGGGAAUCCGACAACGAUCGGUAUCUUCACGCCUACAAUCAGACGUCGGAGGAGGACAUCACCGAGGAGGAGUUGGACGACGAGGAGUAGUUGAAUUAUCUUUUUUUAUCUAUCUAUGCUGAGAACUAUCCUCUACUCUCUAGUAUCUACUUCUCGAUCUCAGCACUGUAAACGCUUUUUUAAAGCGCCGCACGUUGCGAUUCUGUUGGAGAUGCUCUAACAUGGCAGACGAGUGCUUUAAUGUUGCCCACAAGAUGCGCGAGUAUUACUAGUAGUAUAUUUUUCUUGCCAUGUUGGGAUUUUAAAACCACGAGUGCGAACAUGCAGAGGAGCAAUGAAGACCAAACACGGGAUAUUCGGGACAUCUUCAAGGAGCGUGGCAAGUUAAAGAGGAGCUGCACCGAACCUGUAAAACGAGCUUUGGUAAGUAACACCCUUUCAAUUACUUUCGUGUAGCCUCGUGUUCUUCGAUGUGUAUAUGUUUUAGUUUCUGUUUCUCUUAAGCGUGGUGUUCUUCGAUGUGUAAUAAGAAGAGUCUUAAUCGUCCUAAUGCUUUCGUUUUUAGCUUGAUGUAGGAAGUGGGUGUUCUCACCUUGUAGUCUGUUUUUUUAUUUUCCUUUUGAAUUCACUUCUCCGAGUUCUGUUUAUCUGGCUUCUACUAAAUGGAUCUAGGUUGCUCUGAGUAUUGAUCUAAAAAAGAAGUAACUUCAUGUCAGGAUGCAGUUCCUGCAAGGAGGGAAGUAUGGUCAACCUUGAGAUCAUGUUUCCAAAAUGAGGCUGGAUUACACACAAGGUGCCAGUUCCCUAAUGAUGCUGGAUUAGACACAAGGUGCAAAUUCCCAGAUGAUGCUGGAUUACACACAAGCCAGGUGGAGUCGUCAGCUGUUCGUGUCCUCGUGGCAUUAGUAAAGGCUGAAAGAAAGCGUGCAGCAGCCCUUGAGAAUGUAGCUGAGUUCCUGAAGAAGCGAAAAGAGCAAUCAGAUGCUCUCUUCACCCAAGCCAAAGAAGAGAUGGAAGAAGCCAGAAAUAAGCUAGCAGAGGCAGAGCAGGCUAGGCGUCUCCCGCUAUCUAAAAUUGUUGUCAAUACAAAAUUUCCUUUAUAAUAGCUAGGUUCAAAUGUUUAUCCAGUCAGCAUGCCUGUUAUGAUGUCCGUGCAUCUACUGAUGUGGCACAAAAUGUUUUUUUUCGGGUCAUGUAAUAACAGCAAUUACUUUCCAAACAAUAACAGACGAAGCAUUGGACAUGGUAUAGUUCACGCGCAAGCCCGACAUUCCAAGUUCAGCUUCCACAUCAAACUCAUGUUCACAGAUAUCUACACAUUCAUACAUAAUGUCCACAACCAUCAUUCACUUCAAAGCCAAAAAAAUGUGAGGAGAGUUAUAAAUAAAGAAAAUCCUCUACUAGUUCCUGCUACCAGUGCGAGCACAACAAGUCAGACCAUGCGUAAAUUAAUUAUAUUUUAGUCAUUUUUUGUGUUCUAAAAUGCCUGCCGGCUAGCGGAAGGACGUGUUGCCGGCACACGCGCGGAUUCAAUGAAGGCAGGCGGGGCAGUCUUAAGCUGGUUGCAUGCGGCAAGGAGGCAUGCUCAGUCGGGCCUGCAGCGAGUGUGGCCCUCUUGGUCGGCGCGCCGGUUCAAUGCCUGCGCUAUGAGAGGUCGCGUUCGUGUCAGAGCAAUCACUCCCUCCAGUCCUUUUUUGUUUGGGUAUAACAAAAUCUCGUUUUCCAUUCACAUUUUACAAGUAAAAUUCGUGGACAAACUUUGACCCAAAGUACGAUGGGGACUAGUAAACCAGAAUGGAGGUAGUAGUUUUUUUAAUCAAAGAAGGGUUUCCCCUUCGAUUUUCAUUACUGAAAACCAGCAUCUAAAUCUAAACCAUAGUAUUUGCCCUAGAACUACCAGGUUCAACAUCUCACAACAUAAACCCAUACAACCUCCAUCGCAAAAAAUAACCAUGCAACCAUACGCCAAGGAGGUACGUAGUACUAUGAAUUCCAUUUUCGCUCCAUACCAAUCGUUCUAAAAACUACUUACUACUUAUAACGCGCCAUUGAAAAUAGGAACUCUUAACCCCGCUAAAAAAGAUAUUUUAAACGUGGCUACUCGAUCUGUGGCAACUGGCGAGCCACCGCACUCCAAGUCGUUCACCUGUGGUCCCGACCAUCAACUCCUACGGAUCAAAUUAUCACGCGAGCUGACUAUUCCUACAAAGGUGCUCCACCACAUACCCGGUACCCGCGAAUGCAGCAAUCGUGCACCUAGGGUUUUAGGGUUUAUUUGUCAACGUCGCCUUUACGUAACACUCAUGUGUGCGAGACAGCGAGAGGCCGACUGCGUGCGUGCACCUCUUCUAUUCGUAUAUGUACUCCACCGUUUGUCUGGUGUCCAAAAAAUUAUAAUAACUACUAGCAAUGUGCCAAUGCGUUGCCACACGAUCAAAGUAGAUUAAUACAUAUUCACCGAUUUGAUAGAAAAAAGUCUAGUUUUGAAAUACGUAUAUCACUAAAAAUAUGUUAUGUUUCACUCAAAAUAUAUUCCUUUGGCGGUUUUGAUGAGAUAAGGGACGAAUGUUGUUGGUUUCAAGAUUCGAGAAGUGGUAUAUGUCUAAUUUCUACUCUUACUAGCAAGAUGCCCGUGCGUUGCACGGAACAUCAAGAUCUUGUGGGAGAAAAGGAUGAACGAGGGAAGGCCUUAUCUGCAAAUGUGGUGAAGAGUGCGGGUAAAUUGCCAUAUUUUCCUUCCUAUCCGUCAGAUAUAAAUCGGACGACCUACAUUGCAGGAUGACAGGCCCACCAUCAUCACCAACUCUAUUUUUUAUCCCUACUCUUAUAAAAAGCAUUGUCGGUGAUGAUCGUGUGCCUGCCAUCCUGCAAUAUAGGUCGUCCGAUCUAUAUCUGAUGGAUAGGAAGGAAACUAUGGAAAUUUUGCAAAAAGAUACCCACACCCCUCUCCACAUUUGCAAAUAAGGCCUUCCCUCGUUUAUCCUUUUCCCCCACAAGAUAAACUACUCAUACAAAUGCAUCUUGAUGUUCCGUGCAACGCAUGGGCAUCUUGCUAGUUGUUGCAAAAGCCCAUGUGUGUGAGAGAGAGAGGGAGAGUGGAGGAGGACGGAGUGCAUGUGUGACAAAGACACAAGGAGUGUGUGUGCGAUAGGUAUCAGCUUAAAAUGAGGCGAUAGUGUGUGUGUGCACGAUCGAGAGGGCGUGUCUCGAGAAGGGAAGAAAAAUCUACAUAGAUACAAGGAGCGGGAGAGAGACAUGUAUGCGAUGGUGGAAGCACGAGUGUGCGGGUGUAUAAACCUAUCUAGAGGCUAGCUAGUCGAUAAAUGUUUGUGAGAGAAAUACGAGUCGGGGUGCGAAAGCGAGAGUUUUGUGUGUGUGAGAGAGAGACGGUAGUCGGGAAGGGGAGUGGAAGCAGGAGUUGUGUGUGUGUGUGUGUCUGUGAGAGAGAGAGAGAGGAGACGGUAGUCGGGGUUGUCUGAUCGGUAAACAAAUGAAUAAUGUCAGUCUGGGAUGGAGACGAAAAGGAGACCGCAACAAAUGUUGUGUCUACAGGAGAGAGAGAGAGAGAGAGAGUAAUUUUAGUGGUAUGAGUCAUAUGUAGAGACAUAUAGGGUGUGUGAGAGAAUCCCAUAGAGAGAAAGACAAAGUGAAAGACGAGUGGAGACUGUGUGUGUGGCGGUGAAAAAGAAAGCUUAGGUACCGAGUGAUACCAGAGAACAGUAGAGGCGUUAGAGAUAAUGAAAACCGUGUAAUGUAUAAUGAUAGGGAGAGUGUGACACUUCUCAAGGGAGACGUCGAGAGACCAUGUUUGCGAGGAUAGGAGAAACAUGAAGUGAUCAUGCGGGUGAGCUGGAGAAAAGAGAGUGAUAGCUACCUGAAGGAGCAUGCAUGCGAGAGAGAUGGGAGUGAAAGGAGUGAACAAAAAAGGAAUUCAAAUAUUUGAAUUCGAGAUGAUGAUACAUGUAAUCCAUACUCGAACCAAAAUUGAUCUAUCAAACAUGCAUACUCAUAUGAAUUCACGCACAUCUAUGUUAUUUAAUAUGUAGAUAUUACUGAUCCAUACAUUUUAGUAGAACAUAAUUUGGUUAAAUUUUUUCGAAUUCAACCUUAAGAUUUCGAGAUCGUUGUGUUUGUAAAUCAUAUUAUACAUAUAAAGGAGCAGAAUUCUUUGUUGUGCUUUUGAAAGUAUAUAUAAAAAAAUGAUGUAUAUAGAAUGUAAUUCCAAUUGAAAAUGGAUCCCGCCCGAAAAAAUAGAAUACAAACGGGAUUCGAAUUGAGUUGGCACGGUAAACGUGCACUCUGCAAAAUUUGAACGAAGCGGGGAAAGUCGCAGUAACCGCCCGAAACCAAAAUCUGCGAGAUGGAAAUCACUACUGCCUAUCCCUGCCACGCAAAGCCUAUCUGCUGGAUUUCUAUAGGUUUCGAUAGGGGUAGGUUUCUAAUUUCACCCAAACGUGAUGUAACAGCCUCUCACCCGGAUUCAUACAUGGUGGGCGCCAAAACACAGUGUGUCCUCGGCCGAAAUCGACUCCCUCCCCGAUUCAUAUUCAUACACAGUGGGCGCCAAAAACAAACUCUCGUCGGCAAAUAUUCCGUGUAUGCGAGAUUACCGUCCUAUCCCCAACCGACUAAUGUUGAUGUGAUGUAGUAGAAAUUUGAAACGGGGGCUAAGUUUGUAAAUUUCCUCGCAUUUGAGACAAGCGCGCCCUGAAUACAUGGUUCCCUCCUUCCUCUCUACCUCCCUUUUCCCCAUUCGUACUCCGUGGGCGCCAAAACACCCUCUCCACCCCACCCUCCUCCGUCCGCCACCCCAUCCACCGCCGUCCUCCUCCACCAUGCCGGAGCUGAUACCCGACGCCGCCGUCCAUUACAAGAGAUCGACCUCUCUCAUCCAUGGCGUCGGACCGGGAUCCUUGCAUCCCGUCCUCUCGCUUCAUCCUCGCCGCCGUCCACCUUGCCGGCGCCGCUCCUACGACCGUCACGUCCACCGCGCCCCGCCACCACCGUCUACCCUCCUAGAUCUGCUUCCACGCCGCCGACAGCCAUCGCUACUGCAGCACCGUCAAAUUCUCAGCAGAUGCGUACACGGCGCCGAACCAGAGGCGGUACUCUUUCGUAUCUGCUCAACUUAUUUAUCGCAGCAAGAAAAUAGAUCGCCACUGCUUUACUCUGAUUUCUUGUCUUGGUUGCGAAUUUGCCUUUGUCCGGUUUGCACCUUCAGAUCCGCCAUGGCACGCUCAACACUAUACUCCCAAUGCUUAUGGUUUUCCCCUUUUAUAUUCCACACUAGUUAAAUCACAGUAGACUAAAUUUCAAAAUUGGGUCAGUCGAUUUUCCAGAGCUCGCCGGAGUUCACCGGUGCGAUCGAAGGGGCUCGGGUGGUUGUGGGGCCUCGCCGAACGAAGAAAACUCGAUGCGGGUGGGGGUUGGGCCGGGGGUGGGGGUGGCGGUGGCGGAGGAACACAGGUGGUGGGGGCCGGUGGUCCGGCCGGCGGCCCGUGCGGUGUUCUGUAUGGGAAGAAUCAGAGACGAGGAAGAAGAAGGGUUAGGAGACGUAGGAUCUUCAUCCAACCGCCUGAAAUGGUCGAGAGACAGCUGGGAGUUGCAUUCUUAAUGCGCUCUGGUUCAUCAUGUGUGGGCACUGCGCAACCAACAUUUUAUUAUCCAAAAUCUGCUUGCUCUUCUUUACCAUGUUCCUCUUCCAUUCUUCUUUAAUAUGUACUCUCUCCGUUCCUAAAUACAAGUCUUUGUAUAGAUUCCACCAUGGACUACAUAUGGAGAAAAAUGAGUGAAUCUACACUCUAAAAUGUAUCUGGAUACAUCUGUAUGUGAUCCAUAGUGGAAAUCUCUACCAAUACUUAUAUUUUGGAACAGAGGGAGUAUGAUAGUAGUACAGUAUGUUCCUUGUACUGAAGAUGAGCAGGGACAUUUGCAGUGUAGAGGUCUAUACGGUCGGUUGUGAUGGACACUUUGAGCCUAUUUGAUUCGUAGGAUCUUGUAAACAUAGGAAUAGGAUUUGUAGUGGCCUGCCCACUUGAAUCCUAUAAGAAUAGCAAGGAAAUGCGGGGAGCUGUGUCGCCUUUGAGAGUUGCACUGAUAUUAACAGUACCGCACCUUCACUUGAAGAGAGCUGGUAUCUGAAGCCUUUCUAGCCGUACCGGCAAUACUAGCACAUAUAUUCUAGCAAGUUCCACUUUGCUGAUUUUACUCCGAUGCUUAAGGUUUUCCCGUUAUAUCUACACUAUGAUCUGUGUAGCUGCUUUGUGUCGCACUAGCAGCAGUCCACUCUUGAAGCUAAACACUGCAAUGACUUACAAAAUUGGCACCAAGGCAUUGAGUUCCAUUCUGGAUGCAAUGAAACUCAUACGCUCCCCACCUGUUGAUUCUUCUUCAGAAUAUGAUCCUAAUGACUAUUCUAACCUUGAGGAGUCAAAGGCAGAUGGCCUGUGCUGUUCACCCAUCAAGGUGCCUGUUCUAAUUUGGCAAUGUUUUAUUGAUUGCGGGUAUCUUGCAUAUGUUGUCUUGCAUUUCUUCUACUUUGUUGCACCGCCAUCUGCUUAGUUUACUCAUCAUAUAUGUCGAGAUGCCAUGCCCAUCCAUUAUCAAUACAUAUUCCAUCUGUCAUCAUACCAUGUUUUUCCACUCAAAUGUUGUUCUUGUGCAUCAGACAUCAAAAAGGAAGAGGGUGAUUGCCGAACCUGAAGGAGCACCAGCAAAGUCCUUGAAAAACAUGGUGGUGCCGGAGAAAUCAGACAUCACCCCACUUAUAUUGGCUGUACAACCAGUGACACAAAAUGUUGGACCGACUCCAGCAGACUGUACCCAUACUUCACUGGCCACACCACUAGCCCCACCACACAGGACCUGCACUCCAGCAAAAGGUAUACCGAUUUCAUUUGCCAUAGCACCAGCUGUACCACAGAAAAAUCCCACUCCAGCAAAAAGUACAGCAAGUCCACCGGCCGAAGACCUAUCCCAACUGCAGAGACGGCCAAUUCCUCCAGAUUGGAACCCCAUUCCAUUUAUUCCCAGUUUAAAAGACAAUGCUUUCAAUGUUGUUAGGGACUACGUGCAUAUAUUCCCAUCAUGGGAAUAUUAUUAUGAAGAGAAACACCAUUUUCACAUCUUCUUGUCCAACUUACGUGUAAGUGCUAUUAUUCAUGGUUAUUAUUUUCCUGUUUUCUGCUGAUUGAACACAUCAAUGAUUUACAUUACAUUGUUGUAACUAGGCAAGGGUCAAUCUGGAUAGUCAUGACGAGCAAAGCUUGCUUGUGCUUUUCAAGGAAGCAUUGCAUCAGUAUCGGUGUUACCUGAGGAAAUCACACUUUGAUGGCAAGUCUAUAAACGAAUUUCCGGUGAAGUCUCCUGUGCUAAAUUUAGAAGACAUUGAAUGGAAAAACCUUGUUAUGCACUGGUCUCAUUCCCAGGAUGAGGUACUGUCUAUGAAAUCACAUGACAAUUUGAACUUCUACUUUUCCGCAUGUGCCUUACGGAUCUUUUUUGCAGGAAAUCUGCUCAAAGAAGAAUUCCGGUUUGACAAGAACGACAGGAUGUCGCAAAUAUGCUGCCCGCUGCUUUUCUCUUGUUAGUACCUGUUGUCCUGUAUCACUAUACUUGCAUACAUACCUGGUUCAUUAUGUGACAGUAGUAUGCAUGAUAGCUUGCUUAUCAAUUGUUCGCUCCAAAUUAUCUGAUCUAUGAAUGGUUACAUUAGUGUAGAAUAUAUCCAAUGCCAAUGUUUUUUUAGCUCUGCAUUGUUCUUCUAAGUACAUGCUGUCCUUGAUCAGUGUACUUAUAAUGACAGGUAGUUGUUCAUGUACCAUCACUCUUCAGCUUAUUUUCCUUUGCCCUCCAUUUUCUACACAUCAGAUCUAUAUUUACUCUUACCAUAAGGUUGGUACUGAAGAAGUUUAGUUGUGCAUUGCUCUUGGAUGUACCUUUUGCCUGUAUCGCUGCACUUACAUUUAUAGCUACUUGGUUAUGUAGCAUCACUCUUCAUCUUCUCUUAAAUAUUCUCCAUUUUUUCGUAUAUUAUCACAUCUAUAUUUACUCUUAACAAAAUGUAGAAUAAAGGCAAUGCUUUUGAAGAAGAUUCUGUGGUAAACUUCUUGAAUUGCCCCCCCCAUCAGCAUGGACAAGGCCUUUAUAGAGCCUGUCUUCACCAAUAAUGUAAGUUUGUCCAUCUCAAGCCUUCAAACUUUGUUGUAUAUAUUUGGUUAGGCAUGACUGCAACAGCUGUUUAUUUUUGGUGUUUGCAUCAAAUUGCUUGUUUAAAGUUUAUUAUGUAGUUCAUAAACAAAAGUUUGUCCUUUCUCAAUUUAAGUUUUCAGUUGUACAACCAAGUUCCUUCUUCAUACCAUGUAAAUUAAACUAUACAGAGCAAGUGAUAUUCUUUUGCACUGCAUGUAUGCUUCUGUUCUUCAUCCGUAAUCCAGUGGUGUGGUGAACCAACCCACUACAGCACAAUGUCAUAUUCUGCAAUGUCUUGACUAUGAACAAUGUCAUAUCAUUCUACUAUUAUUUAAACCGUCUCUUUAUUUGCCAAUCUAAAAUGGUAUAAAUUGAUAGCACACUAACCAUUGAUACAUAUGAGUUCUUGAUCUGUAAUCUAGUGGUGUCGUGAAGCUGCCAACUCCUUCACAAUGUCAUUUCCUGCCAUGUCUUGACCUGAACAAUACCAUAUUGUGUUAAUGCAAUUUUAAACUGUGUCACUUUAUUCGUCAGUAAGAAAUGUGAUGAAUUUUCAGCACUGAUACUUUUAUGUGCAAAACCUGUCAUCUGUCUGCUUGUUUAUCUUUCAGAGUGAGGAAGAUAUAAGUGUUGAACAAGCGCAGUCUCAUCAUCUUGCUCAGCUGCUUGCGCUGCAGCUCCCCAGCAGAGCUAGCCUUUCUUGAACUCUAUUGAAGUGCUGUCGGUUUUGUAUAUUAUUUUGUUGGCGUGUUUAUUUGCACUGGUGGCGAUCUUUGAUGCCCAGUGUAUGUAAUCUGCUGUCUGCUUGUGCUUUAUUAUCAUAGUGGCAAACUUUGAUGCCCAGUGUAUGUAAUCUGCUGUCUGCUUGUGCUUUAUUAUCAUAGUGGCAAACUUUGAUGCCCAGUGGAUGUAAUAUGCUGUAAUUUCUUUAUUGUAUAGUCUAGGUUUUUUCUUAUUCACGAUGCUGCAGUUAUUUUACUGUAUAUAUAUCCUGUCUUCGCAGUAAACCGGCCAAACCGUAAAAUUACGGUACAUAAUCGGGCCGUCAUGCAAUCACGAUGUAGGUUGGGCCUGAAACAUGCCGAACAGCUCACGGCCCAGCAGCAGCCCGAAAUGAACCCCGGCCCAUGAUUGUGCGAAUCAAAUCUUGGGCUUUUAACAGGCCAAAAUUGUCUCGGUCCUUGUUUGGCCCAAUCAGAUAUCGGCUGCGAGCAGGCCGGAUGCAAACCGGGCCGUAGUUAGGCCCAACUAUAUGACGGGCUUUUAAUAGGCCGAAAUUAAUAUAGGGCCGAAAUGUUAAAUGGGCCCUUAACAAGACAAAACUAAUAUCAGGCCAAAUUACUAAGUGGGCCUUUAGCAAGUGGGCCCAAAAGCAUAGUGUCCAGUUGAUGGGCCGAAUCUGAUAUGGGCCAUAAUUGAGCCCAAAGCCUCUUAAAGGGCCAGACCUGAUCUGGGCCGUAAUUUGGCCCAGAACGUGGUAGGAUUUUAACUGGCCGGAUCUCAUAUGGGCCACUAUUAGGCCCGGAGCAUGGCGGGCCAUUAAUGGACCGGAUCAAAUAUGGGCCGGCAUUUGGCCCAAAACAUGGCAGCCAGUUAAUGGGCCGACCUACUAGGGUCCUCAAAAUCUUGUGGGCCUACAGCUAGGCCGGCCCAUUAAUGUCGGCAAAAUCUCGUGGGCCUUUAGCUGGGCCGUCCCAUUAUGAUCCGCAAGAAUCUUGUGGGCCUUUACCUGGGCCGGGCCAUUAUGGCACACAAAAAUCUUGUGGGCCUUUACCUGGGCCGGCCCAUUAUGGCACACAAAAAUCUUGUGGGCCUUUACCUGGGCCGGCCCAUUAUGGCCCGCAAAAUCUUGUGGGCCUUUAGCUGGGCCAGCCCAUUAUGGUCCGCAAAAUCUCGUGGGCCUUUAGCUGGGCCGGCCCAUUAUGGUCCGCAAAAUUUUGUGGGCCUUCAGUUGGGCCGACCCAUUUAAACUUGAUGGGCCGGUCCAUGUGUCAACAUAUCAUAGGCGCGUUUGGCCCAUUGGAUGAGUGACACCUGUGCCAACGCGGACCUGACACGUGUCUCCUCCAGCCAAUGAUGAUUUUACACGUGGAAAAUCCCCAUUGGUCGGGGCUGUUAACGGGUUAUCGGAUCCAAAACCCGACCCGAUAGCUUAACGGCGUUCCGUUACGGUGGAUGCCACGUGUCGGUCACCCUUGACGAAAGCACUUCUGUGACGCGCGAUUUAUCGUCAUGGAAGUGGACACUUCCGUGAUGAUAAUUUUGGUAAUGUCAUGGAACACUUCUACGAUAGCUCAUAAAAUCGUCAUGGAUGUACAUGCAUGACAGAAAACACGACCUACUGUGACAAACAUGUAUCAUCACGGAAGUGUAUUUUUUUGUAGUGAUGUUAAUCAUAGAAUUGCAUCUUCGUACCAUCCACAAUCUAGUGGUCAAGUAGAACUUAGUAAUAGAGAGCUCAAAUUAAUUUUGCAAAAGACUGAUAAUAGAUCUAGAAAGAAUUGGUCGAAGAAACUUGAUGAUGCAUUAUGGGCCUAUAGAACUGCAUAUAAAAAUCCUAUGGGUAUGUCUCCGUAUAAAAUGGUUUAUGGCAAAGCAUGUCACUUACCUCUCGAACUAGAACAUAAGGCAUAUUGGGCCAUUAAAGAGCUCAAUUAUGAUUUCAAACUUGCCGCUGAGAAGAGGCUAUUUGACAUUAGCUCACUUGAUGAAUGGAGAACCCAGGCCUAUGAGAAUGCCAAACUGUUCAAAGAAAAAGUCAAAAGAUGGCAUGACAAAAGGAUACAAAAGCGUGAGUUUAAUGUAGGUGAUUAUGUGUUGCUAUUCAACUCUCGCUUAAGAUUUUUUGCAGGAAAACUUCUUUCUAAAUGGGAAGGGCCUUACGUUAUCGAGGAGGUCUAUUGUUCCGGUGCCAUAAAAAUCAACAACUUCAAAGGCACAAAUCCGAAGGUGGUGAACGGUCAAAGAAUCAAACAUUAUAUCUCAGGUAAUCCUAUAAAUGUUGAAACUAAUGUUAUUGACACCGUGACCCCGGAGGAGUACAUAAGGGACACUUUCCAGAACGUUUCAGACUUUGAAAAGGAAUAGGUAUAUGGUACGGUAAGUAAACCGACUCCAAAACAGUUCUAAUAGAAAUUUUUCUCCAUUUUGGGAUAUUUAAGAAAAUAGGAAAAUAAGAAGCAGUCCGGGAAGGACACGAGGCGUCCACAAGGGUGGAGGGUGCGCCCUACCCCCUGGGCGCGCCCCCUGCCUCGUGGGCACCUCGUGUGCCCUCCGGACUCCGUUUUUUUGCACGAUACUUCUUUUGGUCGGUAAAAAUUCAUUAUAUAAUCUCCUGAAGGUUUCGACCACCGUACCACGCAAAUAUCCUCUGCUUUUGUUUCGAGCUGUUUUUCUGACAGAUCUAGAUCACCAUGACGUCUCCAAGUGCCCCCAAGGACAAGUUCUUCGAGAAGGUCAUCAACCCCUACCUCACGGAAGUGCUGCAACAUCCUCAAACCAUUGAGAUGCGUGAGGGGUUGCUGUACAUCCGCGAUGUUGAGGGACCAAGGAGGACCGGAAGCAUGGAGACAAGGCUCAAGGCAAUGGAGCAGCAAGUUUACAAGUGCCAGGAGAUGGUGGAACAUGGACUCGACGCUAAUCAUAUAAUUAUCACAAAGUUCACCAACAACCACAAGCUGGAUGCCAAGAACAUUGGGGAGGCCAUCUUCAAGCUUCACGAGAAAAUUGAGUGCCUCCAAGCCCAGAUUUAUGACCUGCAAAACCAAAACUGUGAGUAUGAAUAUAGAUUCAAGAGCAUGAGUUUUGCUGCAGAUUUGAGGAUCCCGGAGACUCGGUCAUCCUUUUACGAUGGUGAGCCCAUGCCUUGGAAGAUGGACGACAAGCCUACAUCAUCAACAACUCCAUCAUCACCACCUCCGAAGGGAGAGACAUAAUCACAUGGGUAUGGGCACUCCCCUUGGCAACUGCCAAGCUUGGGGGAGGUGCCCCGGUAUUGUAUCACCAUCACAAUCCUAUCCUUACCAUUUUUCUUAGUUUGAUCCUUUUGGUAAUAUCUUGAUCUAGUAGAAUAAAGUUUUAGUAUGAUCUAGUUUUGAGCUAUGCUUUAUGAUCCUUCUAUGUAAUCGAGUCCGUGAGCUAUAUAUAUAAUAAAGAUUAGUGUUGAGUCAAGGGCUUGAUUAUCUUGCUAUGAUCUUGAGGGAAUUAAAAAAAAGAAAGAAUAAAAAUAAAUAAAAGAGAUCAUAUUGAUCUUAUGGAGAGUAAUGACUUCACAUAUAAAGAGUAUGAUGAAUAAAAGUUGUUGAGAGUUGACAAACAUAGUUUUGGUCAUCGUUGCAAUUAAUAGGAAGUAAUAAAGAAAGAGAGGUUUUCACAUAUAAAUAUACUAUCUUGCACAUCUUUUAUGAUUGUGAGCACUCAUUAAAAUAUGACAUGCUAAAGAGUUGAUGUUGGACAAGGAAGACAACGUAAUGGGUUAUGUUUUCUUAUAUCCGAAAUAAAGUAUAUUGUCAUGGAUCAUCCAACAUGUUGAGCUUGCCUUUCCACCUCAUGCUAGCCAAAUUCUUUGCACCAAGUAGAGAUACUACUUGUGCUUCCGAAUAUCCUAAACCCAGUUUUGCCAUGAGAGUCCACCAUACCAACCUACAGAUUGAGUAAGAUCCUUCAAGUAAGUUGUCAUCGUUGCAUGCAAUAAAAAUUGCUUUCUAAAUAUGUAUGAUUUAUUAGUGUGGAGAAAAUAAGCUUUAUACGAUCUUGUGAUGUGGAAGAAAUAAAAGCGACAGACUACAUAAUAAAGGUCCAUAUCAUAAGUGGCAAUAUAAAGUGACGUUCUUUCGCAUUAAGAUUUUGUGCAUCCAACCAUAAAAGCACAUGAUAACCUCUGCUUCCCUCUGCGAAGGGCCUAUCUUUUAUUCUUGUCUCAUACCUUAUACAAGAGUCAUGGUGAUCUUCACCUUUCCUUUUUACAUUUUAUCCUUUGGCAAGCACAUUGUGUUGGAAAGAUCCUGAUAUAUAUAUCCAAUUGGAUGUAAGUUAGCAUGAACUAUUAUUGUUGACAUUACCCUUGAGGUAAAAGGUUGGGAGGCAACACUAUAAGCCCCUACCUUUCUCAGUGUCCGAUUGAAACUCCAUAACCAUAAGUAUUGCGUGAGUGUUAGCAAUUGUGAAAGACUAAAUGAUAGUUGAGUAUGUGGACUUGCUGAAAAGCUCUUAUAUUGACUCUUUCUGAUGUUAUGAUAAAUUGCAAUUGCUUCAAUGACUGAGAUUAUAGUUUGUUAGUUUUCAAUGAAGUUUCCGAUUCAUACUUCACAUUGUGAAUAGAUUGUUACUUUCGCAUAAGAAAUCAUAUGACAAUAUAUAUAUAUAUAUAUAUGUUGCUGUUAUAAGAAUGAUCAUGAUGCCCUCAUGUUCGUAUUUUCUUUUAUCGACACCUCUAUCUCUAAACAUGUGGACAUAUUUUUCGUUAUCGGUUUCUGCUUGAGGACAAGCGAGGUCUAAGCUUGGGGGAGUUGAUACGUCCAUUUUGCAUCAUGCUUUUAUAUCGAUAUUUGUUGCAUUUUGGGCUGUUAUUACACAUUAUGUCAUAAUACUUAUGCCUAUCCUCUCUUAUUUUACAAGGUUUGCAUGAAGAGGGGGAAUGCCGGCAGCUGGAAUUCUGGGCUGGAAAAGGAGCAAAUAUUAGAGACCUAUUCUGCACAACUCCAAAAGUCCUGAAAUUUCAUAGAGGCAUGUUUAGGAAUAUAUAAAAAAUAUUGGCAAAAGAAUUAACCAGAGGGGGCCCACACCCUGGCCACGAGGGUGGGGGGGGCGCGCCCUACCCCCUGGGCGCCCCCCUGCCUCGUGGGCCCCUUAGCAGGCCUCUGUUGCCCAUCUUCUCCUAUAUGAAGUCUUUUACCCUGGAAAAAAUCAGGAGGAAGCUUUCGGGACGUAACACCGCCGUCACGAGGCGGAACCAAUCUAGGGCUUUGGCGAAGUUGUUCUGCCGGGGAAACAUCUCAGCGGGAGGGGGUCAAUCUCCAUUAAUAUCUUCACUAGCACCAUCUCCUCUCAUACCCUAGUUCAUCUCUUGUAUCCAAUCUUUGUCCCAAAACCUCAGAUUGGUACUCGUGGGUUUCUAGUAGUGUUGAUUACUCCUUGUAGUUCAUGCUAGUUGGUUUAUUUGGUGGAAGAUCAUAUGUUCCAAUCCUUUAUGCAUAUUAAUACCCCUCUGAUUAUGAACAUGAAUAUGAUUUGUGAGUAGUUACAUUUGUUCCUGAGGACAUGGGAGAAGUCUUGCUAUAAGUAGUCAUGUGAAUUUGGUAUUCGUUCGAUAUUUUGAUGAGAUGUAUGUUGUCUCUCCUCUAGUGGUGUUAUGUGAACGUCGACUACAUGACACUUCACCAUUAUUUGGGCCUAGAGGAAGGCAUUGGGAAGUAAUAAGUAGAUGAUGGGUUGCUCGAGUGACAGAAGCUUAAACCCUAGUUUAUGCGUUGCUUCGUAAGGGGAUGAUUUGGAUCCAUAUGUUUCAUGCUAUGGUUAGGUUUACCUUAAUACUUCUUUUGUAGUUGCGGAUGCUUGCAUAGGGUUAAUUAUAAGUGGGAUGCUUGUCCAAGAAAGGGCAGCACCCAAGCACCGGUCCACCCACAUAUCAAAUUAUCGAAGUAACGAACGCGAAUCAUAUGAGCGUGAUGAAAACUAGCUUGACGAUAAUUCCCAUGUGUCCUCGGGAGCAUUUUCCUUCAUAUAAGAGCUUGUCCAGGCUUGUCCUUUGCUACAAAAAGGAUUGGGCCAUCUUGCUGCACUUAAUUUACUUUCAUUACUUGUUACCCGUUACAAAUUACCUUAUCACAAAACUAUCUGUUACCGAUAAUUUCAGUGCUUGUAGAGAAUAUCUCACUGAAAACCGCUUGUCAUUUCCUUCUGGUCCUCGUUGGGUUCGACACUAUUACUUAUCGAAAGGACUACGAUAGAUCCCCUACACUUGUGGGUCAUCAACUUGCUAUAAUUAUAUUCUCAAAUUAUUUCCGUUCUCAUUAAAGGGUGAUGCUAAAGCUUGGUACAAUACUCUUACUCCUGGUUGUGUGCGUAGUCCCCAGGAUAUGAUUUAUUACUUCCCCGAAAAAUAUUUUCCUGCUCAUAAGAAACAAGCUGCCUUACAGGAAAUAUUUAACUUUGUGCAAACUAAAGAAGAGAGUCUCCCACAAGCUUGGGGGAGGCUUUGCCAAUUACUUAUUACUUGCCUGAUCAUCCUCUUAAGAAAAAUGAAAUACUCGAUAUCUUCUAUAAUGGACUAACUGAUGCUUCUAGGGACUUCCUAGAUAGUUUUGCUGGUUGUGUUUUCAGGGAACGAACUGUUGGGCAAGCUGAAGAAUUAUUGAUUAGCAUAUUGAAAAAAUAUGAUGAUUGGACUCUUCCCGAACCACUGGCUAAACCCACUCCGAAGAAGAGGGGUAUAUUAUAUCUCAGUCUUGAAGAUAUGCAAGAGGCAAAGAAAUCUAUGAAGGAAAAAGGUAUUAAAGUUGAGGAUGUCAAAAAUUUACCUCCUAUUGAAGAAAUACAUGGGCUUAAUACACCACCACUGUCUAAGGUGGUAGAGGUAAAUUCUUUAAUGAAGUUCAAUGAUAAUGACAAUCCUCACAAUAUGCAUCCUAGCCAAUGCCUUUGUGCGUUUGAAAACUACAUUAGAAAACAAGAUCACUUCAAUGCAAAUGUGAAACAAUUGAAAUAUAAUUCUGAUAUGAUUGCUCGCUUGAGUGACUUGUUAUUUAGAAUAUCAAAUUAUGUUAGAGGUGUUUGAAAACAUACUUCUAUGGUACAAACCCAAUUAGAACAAUUUGCUAAAUCACAAAGAGAAUUGCUUGGUGAAAUGAAUAACAACAUACAUGACUUUGCUGUUAGAGUUGCAACUAGAGGAGAUAAAAUGACUCGGGAACCACUUUAUCCUGAGGGACACCCAAAAAGAAUUGAACAAGAUUCACAAAGAGUUAACACUGAUGCACCUAGUCCUUCUAGAAAGAAAAAGAAAAAGAAAAAUGAUGGGACUUUGCAUACUUCUAGUGAACCUGAAAUAGAAAAACCUCAUGAUAAUGAUAAUGAUACUUCUAUCUCUGAUGCUGAAACUCAAUCAGGUAAUGAACAUUCACCCAAUGAUAAUGAAAAAGAUAAUGUUGAUGUUCAUGAAGACACUCAACCAAAUGAAAAAGAACCAGACAAUGAUGUUGAGAUAGAACCACCUGUUGAUCUUGAUAACCCACAACCUAAGAAUAAAAUAUAUGAUAAAAGAGACUUCAUUGCUAGAAAACAUGGUAAAGAAAGAGAACCGUGGGUUCAAAAACCUAUGCCUUUUCCACCCAAGUCAACUAAAAAGAAAGAUGACGAAGAAUUUGAACGCUUUGCUGAAAUGCUGAGGCCAGUCUUUUUGCGUACUCGCUUGACUGAUAUCUUCAAAAUGCCUCCUUAUGCAAAGUAUAUGAAAGACAUCAUCACUAAUAAGAGAAAAACACCAGAGGCUGAAAUCUCCACUAUGCUUGCUAAUUAUACUUUUAAAGAUGGAGUACCUAAAAAACUCGGAGAUCCGGGAAUACCAACUAUACCUUGCUCUAUCAAAAAGAAUUAUGUGAAAACUGCUUUAUGUGAUUUAGGAGCUGGCGUUAGUGUUAUGCCUUUCUCUUUAUAUAAAAGGCUUGAUUUGAAUAAACUCAUACCUACUGAAAUAUCAUUGCAAAUGGCUGACAAAUCAACUGCCAUACCUGUCGGUAUCUGUGAGGAUGUUCCCAUUGUUGUUGCUAAUGUUACUAUUUUGAAUGACUUUGUUAUACUUGAGAUGCCCGAGGACGACAACAUGUCGAUUAUCCUUGGUAGACCCUUCUUGAAUACUGCAGGGGCUGUUAUUGAUUGCAAUGAAAGCAAGCUCACUUUUCAUAUCAAUGGUAAUGAGCAUACGGUGCACUUUCUGAAGAAACAAUUCCAAGUGAAUGGUAUUAAUGUUAUUGAAAAAUCUCCGACAAUCACUAUUGGAAGCUUUCAAAUACCUCUACCUACUGUCAAAAAUAAAUAUGAAAGGCUUAUUGUUGGCAACAUUCAUAUCCCCAUUGAGGUAACUUAGUGAUUUACGAAAGUUCUUCAGUUUCAUGCUAAUCAAAAGUGGUUGUUAAUAAGACCUGAUCAACCUUAUUAACUGAUCAUUUUUGAACGGUAUGAAGUUGAUGAAUUUAGUAAGCACUACCUUCUGUCCCUACUUUUAGUUUUCUGUUUUUAUUAGUUACAUAAAAUAAAAUGCCAUGUUUUAUCUGUUUUCUGAAUUUUCUGUGCAAUAAAAAAUGACCCAAAAAUAAAAAUUCUCAGAAUGCCCUUGAUACGUCUCCAACGUAUCUAUAAAUUUUGAUUGUUCCAUGCUAUAUUAUAUUCUGCUUUGGAUGUUUAAUGGGCUUUAUUAUACACUUUUAUAUUAUUUUUGGGACUAACCUAUUAACAGGAGGCCCAGCCCAAAUUGCUGUUUUUUUGCCUAUUUCAGUGUUUCGCAGAAAAAGAAUAUCAAACGAAGUCCAAUCGGAAUGAAAUCUUCGGGAACGUGAUUCUCGGAACAAACGUGAUCCAGAGGACUUGGAGUCCACGUAAAGAAAUCAACAAGGAGAGCACGAGGCAGGGGGCGCCUACCCCCCCUCCCAGGCGCGCCCUCCACCCUCGUGGGGCCCAUGUUGCUCCACCGAUGUACUUCUUCCUCCUCCUAUAUACCUACGUACCCCCAAACCAUCAGGGGCAUCCACGAAAACCUAAUUCCACCGCCGCAACCUUCUGUACCCGUGAGAUCCCAACUUGGGGCCUUUUCCGGCGCUCCGCCGGAGGGGGCAUUGAUCACGGAGGGAUACUACAUCAACACCAUAGCCUCUCCGAUGAUGUGUGAAUAGUUUACCUCAGACCUUCGGGUCCAUAGUUAUUAGCUAGAUGGCUUCUUCUCUCUCUUUGGAUCUCAAUACAAAGUUCUCCUCGAUUCUCUUGGAGAUCUAUUCAAUGUAAUCUUCUUUUGCGGUGUGUUUGUUGAGACCGAUGAAUUGUGGGUUUAUGAUCAAGUUUAUCUAUGAACAAUAUUUGAAUCUCCUCUGAAUUCUUUUAUGUAUGAUUGGUUAUCUUUGUAAGUCUCUUCGAAUUAUCAGUUUGGUUUGGCCUACUAGAUUGAUCUUUCUUGCAAUGGGAGAAGUGCUUAGCUUUGGGUUCAAUCUUGCGGUGCUCGAUCCCAGUGACAGAAACGGAAACGACACGCAUUGUAUUGUUGCCAUUGAGGAUAACAAGAUGGGGUUUAUAUCAUAUUGCAUGAUUUUAUCCCUCUACAUCAUGUCAUCUUACUUAAAGUGUUACUCCGUUCUUAUGAACUUAAUACUCUAGAUGCAUGCUGGAUAGCGGUUGAUGUGUGGAGUAAUAGUAGUAGAUGCAUAAUUAUUUCGGUCUACUUGUCGCGGACGUGAUGCCUAUAUACAUGAUCAUACCUAGAUAUUCUCAUAACUAUGCUCAAUUCUAUCAAUUGCUCGACAGUAAUUUGUUCACCCACCGUAAUACUUAUGCUCUUGAGAGAAGCCACUAGUGAAACCUAUGGCCCCCGGGUCUAUUUUCCAUCAUAUUAAUCUUCCAACACUUAGGUAUUUCUAUUGCCGUUUGUUUUACUUUGCAUCUUUAUUUCUCUUUAUUAUAAAAAUACCAAAAAUAUUAUCUUAUCAUAUCUAUCAGAUCUCACUCUCGUAAGUGACCAUGAAGGGAUUGACAACCCCUUUAUUGCGUUGGUUGCGAGGUUCUUAUUUGUUUGUGUAGGUGCGUGGGACUCGAGCGUGGUCUCCUACUGGAUUGAUACCUUGGUUCUCAAAAACUGAGGGAAAUACUUACGCUACUUUACUGCAUCACCCUUUCCUCUUCAAGGGAAAACCAACGCAGUGCUCAAGAGGUAGCAAGAAGGAUUUCUGGCGCCGUUGCCGGGGAGAUUCGCGCCAAGUCAAGUCAAGUGAAGACAUACCAAGUACCCAUCACAAACUCUUAUCCCUCACAUUACAUUAUUUGCCAUUUGCCUGUCGUUUUCCUCUCCCCCACUUCACCCUUGCCGUUUUAUUCGCCCUCUCUUUUCCGUUCGCCUCUUUUUCGCUUGCUUCUUGUUUGCUCAUGUGUUGGAUUGCUUGCUUGUCACGAUGGCUCUACCUAGAUUUGGUGAUCUUCACCUUAAAAGGUUAGAAGAGAUCGAAAGCAACGUCAGGAGUUUUAUGACUUUACAAUUUGAGCAUAAUAAUUUCUUUAGGAACGAGCUUAAGGAACAAAAAAGCUUUAUGGGUUAUAUGAAUAAAGAGCUCGAUGAUAUGUCUAAAGAAUUUUAUGGUUUGAAAUCUCAGAUUGCUCAUCUCGAAAAAUUAAUAGCUGAAGUUUCGGAUAAGCAGGCCACCUUAGUUAGUAAGAUGGCCGCUAAGCAGGAAAUUUUUUGUGAGACUAAAGAUGAAGAUCUAAAAGUUAUUGAUGUGUCUCCUAUUAAAUCUUUGUUUUGCAAUAUGAAUCUUGAUAAUGAUGGGACUGAAUAUGAGCCACCUUUAACUAGAAGGAGUUCCAAAAAUUCGGAGUCUUUAGAUCUUGAUGCGAAAUUGGGUAAAAGUGGGACUGAAGAGAUCAAAACUUUAGAUAUUAAUGAACCCACUAUUUUGGAUCUCAAGGAAUUUAAUUAUGAUAAUUUCUCUUUGAUAGAUUGUAUUUCCUUGUUGCAAUCCGUGCUAAAUUCUCCUCAUGCUUAUAGCCAAAAUAAAGCUUUUACUAAACAUAUCGUUGAUGCUUUGAUGCAAUCUUAUGAAGAAAAACUUGAGUUGGAAGUUUCUAUCCCUAGGAAACUUUAUGAUGAGUGGGAACCUACUAUUAAAAUUAAAAUUAAAGAUCCUGAAUGCUAUGCUUUGUGUGAUUUGGGUGCUAGUGUUUCCACGAUUCCAAAAACUUUGUGUGAUUUGCUAGGAUUCCAUGAAUUUGAUGAUUGUUCUUUAAAGUUGCACCUUGCAGAUUCCACUAUUAAAAAACCUAUGGGAAGAAUUAAUGAUGUUCUUAUUGUUGCACUGCUCUCACCGGUGAAAGGAAUUAUAACCUUGGAGCGAUCGUUGCACGCAGACUUCAGCACAACGCUAAAAGUGGCUAUUUCUAUGCUGGAAUAUAGGCCACGCGCACUGUACGCGUCGGUCCUAAACAAACGGUUUUUUACCCCUUUCCGCGACGGCGUUUGGAACCGUCGCCAAGUGAGUGUGGGCGAUAAGGGGGUCCUUCCCACACGACCCAGAAACCGUUGGGGAUAUGCCCUCCUGGCACACACGCUCGGCAAAAUGAGGUCGUGUGCGACUGGCGAGCACUCAAAUACAGAAAUACGUACAGUAGUGCUAAAAAAUACAAUUAUAUAGGCAAAAUCAUUUCUGGUCGUAAGUACAUCCCACACAGUUAGUCACCACUAAAUGUUUCCAUUUGUAUAUACAUCCCACAUAGUCACUACAAGGAAAACGUGUGCGCAAGGUGGCGUAACGCAAACAGUUUUGAAGAGAAUGUCGUGUGUGAUUGUUCAUUGAUCCAACACGGUUUAUUCCUAGAAACUGUGUGUGUUGCCUUAGGUCAUCGCCCACGGUGUUUUCUCAUUAACCGUUUGCAAUAGGAAAACCCAAUUAGCAAGCUAAUUGGCCAAUUAGCGGGCUAAUUGGCCUAUAUUAAUAAUCCAUUUACUAAUCUAAUUCACAUUCAUAUUAAGCACAUAAUAUAUUCCAUUUCCAUAUUAAGGAAGCAGGAUUUCAUAAUUGAAAUACAUCGGAGUACAACAUGAUAUAGCUUCAGCACUCAGCUACCCCAUUACACAACUGCACCAGCCACUACUAGGAAAAGGGCUAUAGAUGAUAUGGACACUAAUGGCGCACCAGACAUGUGGUGCGCCACUACUAUAUACUAAUGGCGCACCAUGUGUUGGUGCGCCAUUAGUGUCCAAAUACUAAUGGCGCACCACAUCCACGGUGCGCCACUAGUAACAAUUUUUUAUUUUUAUUUUCAAAACUAGUAAUGGCGCACCAGGGGAUAGUGCGCCAUUACUAGUUAAACUAGUAAUGGCGCACCACAUCCACGGUGCGCCACUAGUAAUUUUUUUUCAAUUUUUUUUUCAAUUUUUUUAAUUUUUUUUCCAAAACUAGUAAUGGCGCAACAGGGGAUAGUGCGCCAUUACUAGUUAAACUAGUAAUGGCGCACCACAUCCACGGUGCGCCACUAGUAAAUUUUUUUCAAUUUUUUUUCAAUUUUUUUUAUUUUUUUCAAAACUAGUAAUGGCGCACCACUCCCACGGUGCGCCAUUACUAACUUGACCCAAAAAUUCCACCGAAUGCACCCCCCCGCCCCCCCGUGGACCGGCUUUUCAGUUUUAAAUAAAAUAAAAGAAAAUGAUGGAAAUGUCAAAAAAAAUAAAAGAAAAUAAGUUUCCCAUGUGAUGGAAAUAAGUUCGGAUGGUCUAGUUGUUGGGAAAAUUUACAAAUAUGAAUUUCGACUUUAUUUGCAAAAUCUCUCUGGAAUUUGUAAAAUGGGCAUAACUUUUGCAUACGAACUCGGAUUAAAAAGUUUUUUAUAUGAAAAAUCAUCUACUCGAAAAGUUACAUCCGAAUUUAACGGGGGAACCCCGUUAAACAUUUUCAAAAUCCUCAAAAACCUAACAAAAAAAGUUACGGGGCUUUCAAGAUCUAGAGGCAAAAAAAUUCAAAAAAAUUCAAACUUACUAGUGGCGCACCGUUUGCUAGGUGCGCCACUAGUAACAGAAAAAAAAUUGGUGUUGAAUUUUUUUGUUGGAAUUUUUUUCAAAAAAUGAUACGUAAUAUGACCGGGAAGUUUGAAAUAUUUUUCAAAAUUUCAUCAUACUCAUGAACAUGAACAAAGUCCUAGACAUCAACAAGGUUUAAUAGGAUUGAUAUGGUAGAUAUAUCAACAAGUGCCUGUUAAGUGAGGUGGUGCUGGGGUUGGAUAGAACUGUGAAGAUUGAAAAUAAAAAUUUGAAAAAAACUUAAAAAAAAAUUGAAAAUAAAAAAUUGAAAAAAAAAUUGAAAAUAAAAAUUAGAAAAAAAGUUUAAAUUUUUUUUCUGAAAAAAUAUUUGAAAAAAAAUUGUUACUAAUGGCGCACUUCUAUGUGGUGCGCCAUUACUAAGUCAGAUAGUAAUGGCGCACGGCGUGAUGCGCCAUCAGUAUACGAGAUACUAAUGGCGCACCAGUGGUGCGCCAUUAGUAUUUAAUACUAGUGGCGUGGUACUAGUGGCGCACCAGUAGUGCGCCAUUAGUAGGCAAAACUAGUGCGCCACUAAUAGGCCUUUUCCUAGUAGUGAGCAGCAAGUUUCACAUGCAACAUCUAGAACCUUUCGAAAUUAGCAUCAUAGACGGUACAUAGAGAGAUGCAUCUCAUCUGGAAAACUGCUGAAGCGGAAGGCGAAUAUUGAGCCUUCAUUCAUGUUGAAGGUCUUUGCAACUUUAGGCCAGUGCCUGUGGAUGAUUGACCGUCCAUCCUUCGACCUCUUCAGGAACACUUCAAUAUUGAACCGUGGGUGUUGUAUGAAAACUUUCCUGGCCUCCUGACCACAUAGGUGGUUUGAGAGGUAAUUAUCAGUGAACCCUGAAAAUAAGGAUGUGCAUAAAUAUCUUCUCUAUAUUGGAAACGGGGCAAAGGGAUGAAAAAGGCAAGGCAUAAUAGUUAGUACCAUCUUGUAAACCUCAGUGCUUCCCAUUGUUUCCUUGCAACACAUAUAAGGUAGUUAGUCAUCAGGUUAAGUAAGGGUUCGCAUGCUAUUAGUAAAAUAUGUUGAUGCAAAGUAAGCACAUUGCAAAUUCAUCAGAUUAAUUCAAGCCACAUGGGAAACCCAUUUAUCCAAACAAAGCAUGAUUAAGAACUAGGAAAUAUGGCACUUGUAUAUGUUUCUCAUGUAUUAAGUGCAGCCAAAUUCGAUUUAUUCCUCACAUGGUAUAUAAUAAGAGAAUGCAGCCACAACAAUUGAACAUCGCAUUGCAGAAUUGAACCAAGCAGUUAACUAAACACCACAACAAAUGAACCAAACGUUAAUUGAGCACCACAUUGCACAAUAUAACAUACUCCUAAUACAAGAUCAGACAUUUAACCAAACCAAGCAUGCUUAACAAGUUGGAAAUAUAGCAAUUGUAUUUGUUUCUCAUGUAUUUAGUACAACCAAAUUCGAUUUAUUCCUCACAUGGUAUACAAUAAGAGAAUGCAGCCACAACAAUUGAACAUCGCAUUGCAGAAUUGAACCAAGAAGUUAACUAAACACCACAACAAAUGAACCAAACGUUAACUGAGCACCACAUUGCAUAAUAUAACAUACUCCUAAUAGAAGAUCAGACAGUUAACCAAACCAAGCAUGCUUAACAACUUGGAAAUAUAGCAAUUAUAUUUGUUUCUCAUGUAUUUAGUACAGCCAAAUUCGAUUUAUUCCUCACAUGGUAUACAAUAACAGAAUGCAGCCACAACAAUUGAACAUCACAUUGCAGAAUUGAACAAAGCAGUUAACUAAACACCACAACAAGUGAACCAAGCCAAAACAAAUGAACCAAGCAGUUAACUAAACACAAAUUAAACAAUAUAACAUACUCCUAAUAGAAGAUCAGACAGUUAACCAAACCAAGCAUGCUUAACAACUUGGAAAUAUUGCACCCUGAAGAAUUGAACAUCACAUUUGCAGAAUUGUACCAAGCAGUUAAUUGAACACCACAUUGCACGACAUAUAGAACAUAUACACUAUAGCAGAAGAUUUCAUGGUGAAAGUAGAUAGCACAAUUCACUAGAAUUUGUGAAGGAAAGGCAGUAGCUAGAAACUGAACAUGGGUCCUUAUAGUGAGCUAAUAAGACAAGAUACUCCUCAUUGUCAGAGAUAUCGAUGACGAUUGACUCCUUGUACAUGGAAGAGGGCGAGGCCUCCGCAUUGUGGGUGCCCUCGUUGUAGUGGUGAGUUGCCUGAGCCGCUUCGGGCACCAACCUGCUGGCUCUCGAGAUGAGGUAAGCACGUGCACGCUGAGAAAACACCUCGUAGUCUUCGUCGAAGGCACCAACGGUGGCCUUGAGAAAACGCCACGAACUGUCAUUUAAAGCAGCCAACCGCGUCACAGCGUCGGCACGCGAGGCGUCAACGGUGGCCUCAACGGCGAGGUGCUCCUCCAAGAUCUGGGGCUCGGCACGAAUGGCAGCCAUCACGACGUCAUCCGCGCGUGCGGCCGCGAUUUGCUUCUCCGCUGCCAAAUGCUCCUUGAGAUCCUGGCUAUACUGCGUGCACCAUGGCUUAGGCCGGUGCUUAUUUUGUGGAGGGGUCGGUGAUUUGGGUGGAAGGUGCCGCGCUCGUGCCGGCGAUCGGGGCAUGUGGGAUGUGGAAGAAGGAGGAGGAUGGGGGUCGGGUGUGGAUUACCUGCCUGGAUAGGCGAGGCCGAGCAGCGUGACGGAUGGUCGCCGACGAGGAGGCGGUGGUGCUGCAAGCAAGGAGUGAAGGUUUCAACUUGGAAAGGAAGGCGGAAAGGGGGGAAAAUGUGGCUUUUAGUAAGGAGGAGGGGGCGGGGAGGUAGAUAUUUCCACGGAUGCCAAAAAUUUGGAAUCACUUCAGCCAAAAAACUGGCGCGCAAAGUGUCAUCAGACACGCUCCCUUAUUCAGACACGGUCCAAAGAUAUUUUGUGCUGCAUCUCACACGGUUGGUUAUAAUAAAUAGUGUGGGAUCUACUUGAUUUUUUGUCUUGCUUUGAAUUACAUAAUGGGGUCACAGCGGCCAUGGAUGGUGUUUGAAUUGCUAGACCUUUUAUCUGUGGUGAUGAUAAAAGAAUUGGAAAUUUUUAGGGUUCAUUUGGGAAUUUUAUGCAUUAAGUGAGUGUUCAAUGCUAUGUGCAUAAUUCAAAUUUGAACUACAUGCACAUGCUCCAGUGCAUAUAAAUUGGUUGAAAAAUCAAAUCUUAGUCCUUGGGUGCAUGCUUAGGUCCCAUGCAAGAAAUGGGAAUGAAUGUCAAACACCCUGCCACCAUCACUCCGCCGCACAUUGAGAUACCUGGUUUUUUAAUUCUAGUAAAUCCAAAACUCGUCUGAAAUUCAUGAAACUUGGCAUGCUAUCAUGGAGCGGCAUCAACAUGGCGUGGUAAAGUUUUUGUCCCAUUUGGGGCAGGUUUGGGUAUAAGCUGUCACAAACUAGAGCUUCUAACAAAAAGCAUGAUGGUUUCGGUACGGAACGCCCCAACUUUGGGGACGAAACGAUAUCCAUUGUCUCUAAUUGUAUUCAAUUUUUUUCUCGUGUCAACAUAGAACAACAGGAGUGUUGUGUUAUUUUUUGUGAUUUUUCGGGCUUCGUUUGGACAUUUUUAUGCAUUAAGUAAGUUUUCAAUGCAUUUAUGUGCAUAAUUCAAAUUUGAACUACAUGCACAUGCUCCGGUGCAUAUAAAUUGGUUGAAAAAUCAAAUCUUUUGUCCUUGGGUGCAUGCUUAGGUCCCUUGAAAGAAAUGGAAAUGAAUGUUAAGCACCCUGCCACCGUCACUCGGCCGCAAACAUCGAGAUACCUGGUUUUUAAAUUCUAGUAAAUCCAAAACUCGUCUGAAAUUCAUGAAACUUGGCAUGCUAUCAUGGAGCAGCAUCAACAUGUCGUGGUAAAGUUUUUGUCCCAUUGGGGGUAGGUUUGGGUAUAUGCUUCUCACAAACCAGAGAUUCUCACAGCAAGCAUGAUGAUUUCGGUGGGGAACGCCCCAACUUUGGGGGCGAAACGAUAUCCAUUGCCUCUUAUUGCUUUUAAUUUUUUUCUCAUGUCAACAUAGAACAACAGGAGUGUUGUGCUAUUUUUUGUGAUUUUUCAGGGUUCGUUUGGACAUUUUUAUGCAUUAAGUGAGUUUUCAAUGCAUUUAUGUGCAUAAUUCAAAUUUGAAGUACAUGCACAUGCUCCGGUGCAUAUAAAUUGGUUGAAAAAUCAAAUCUUUUGUCCUUGGGUGCAUGCUUAGGUCCCAUGCAAGAAAUAGGAAUGAAUGUCAAACACCGUCCCACCGUCACUCUGCCGUAAACAUUGAGAUACCUGGUUUUAAAUUCUAGUAAAUCCAAAACUCGUCUGAAAUUCAUGAAACUUGGCAUGCUAUCAUGGAGCGGCAUCAACAUGGUGUGGUAAAGUUUUUGUCCCCUUUGGGGCAGGUUUGGGUAUAUGCUUCUCACAAACCAGAGCUUCUCACAGCAAGCAUGAUGAUUUCGGUAGGGAACGCCCCAACUUUGGGGGCGAAACGAUAUCCGUUGCCUCUUAUUGGUUUUAAUUUUUUUCUCGUGUCAAAAUAGAACAACAGGAGUGUUGUGCUAUUUUUUGUGAUUUUUCGGGGUUUUUUGGACAUUUUUAUGCAUUAAGUGAGUUUUCAAUGCAUUUAUGUGCAUAAUUCAAAUUUGAACUACAUGCACAUGCUCCGGUGCAUAUAAAUUUGUUGAACAAUCAAAUCUUUUGUCCUUGGGUGCAUGAUUAGGUCCCAUGCAAGAAAUGAGAAUGAAUGUCAAGCACUGUGCCACCGUCACUCUGCCGCAAACAUUGAGAUACCUGGUUUUUUAAAUUCUAGUAAAUCGAAAACUCGUCUGAAAUUCAUGAAACUUGGCAUGCUAUCAUGGAGAGGUAUCAACAUGGCAUGGUAAAGUUUUUGUCCCAUUUCGGGCAGGUUUGGGGAUAUGCUUCUCACAAACGAUAGCUUCUCACAACAAGCAUGAUGGUGUCGGUAGGGAACGCCCGAACUUUGGGGGCGAAACGAUAUCCAUUGCCUCUUAUUGCUUUCAAUUUUUUUCUCGUGUCAACAUAAAACAACCGGAGUGUUGUGUUAUUUUUUUGUGAUUUUUCGGGGUUCUUUUGGACAUUUUUAUGCAUUAAGUGAGUUUUCAAUGCAUUUAUGUGCAUAAUUCAAAUUUGAACCACAUGCACAUGCUCCAAUGCAUAUAAAUUGGUUGAAAAAUCAAAUCUUUGUCCUUGGGUGCAUGCUUAGGUCCCAUGCAAGAAAUGGGAAUGAAUGUCAAACACCCUGCCACCGUUACUCGGCCGCAAACAUUGAGAUACCUGGUUUUUAAAUUCUAGUAAAUCCAAAACUCGUAUGAAAUUCAUGAAACUUGGCAUGCUAUCAUGGAGGGGGCCUCAACAUGUCGUGGUAAAGUUUUUGUCCCAUUUGGGGCAGGUUUGGGUAUAUACUUCUCACAAACCAGAGCUUCUCACAACAAGCAUGAUGGUUUCAGAUAGAACACCCGUAUGCAAAGUGAGAGCAGGAUUUGUGCAUCUCUUGAACACAAAUGGUUCUUUUGGAUGACCCCUGUGAAUCACUAGCAGGGCAGCGCAGUACUAUUCGAUUUGACAGCGGGCGGCACAGUUCCUGAUACGGCUUUAAUGCAGACAAGGGAGAGGGUAGCGGUUCCCAAAAUGUUGAACGGCCAAUGAUGCAUCCUCCUUCAAUUAGCAUCGUGUGAAUGCAUGAGGGAAGUAAUGGGAGGACCGGGAAAAGAGGUAGCACAAUGUGAAUGCAAUGCAGUUUGCACUCAUAUAAUGGCGCCCCUCCAUUCCAAUGCAUCUACCACAUCGUACGCACCUAAGCAUUUGCCUAAGCACCUACACUAAUAAGCGCAAAAGUGCCCACUCCAGACCCAUGGCGGUGAUGCGCGCGAGCAGCCAGCGGCUGUGCCAGAUGGUCCACGAUGCUGGCCUGCGGCAUGGCACCGUGGAUCGUCUCCAUACGGUGUUGGCGACCGGCUGGUGGAUGGCCGCCGUCGACGCCAGAUACGACUCUCACUUGGACUAGAUGAUCGUUCGCACCACCAACAGGUUCACCAUUGUCAAGAAGCUCGUGGAUGACAUUGCCGUACUCCUCCAGCCCGCGCGCCCGGGCUCCUCAUUGCCUGCCACCCAAAUCGGUCUCCAUGGUCGGAACCUCUUUGAAGCAUUGGUGGCCCUGCGACUGCCCGCCGACACCACGAAGAAUGUCCACCUGGAGGUCGCGCUCACCGCGAGGCGCCUCGCCCUGCAUGAAACCGUCAACCUACACAUCCAUGUGUACGAACGAAUCGUGUACAUAGGUAUCUACAAGGCCAGUGAGGACGCUACGACGUUGGCCUUCUUCAGCUGGCUGGAAGCCUUGCAUGCCUUAGUUGAGAAGCACCUUGACCUCGCCACACAAGCCGCCGGUCAGUGGCCCAGCCGGUGCAUUGAGUUGAGGAGGAGGAGGUCGUACGUUGAUGGAUGCAUCUUUCUGCUUGCCUCCUGUAACCACCACUGCGAUCACAUCAUCGUGGCCUUAAUUCUUAUUUUGCUAUUGCAUUCUCGUUCCAGUCAAUACAGACAUGUGCGAUCCCUUUGCUCAAUAUAGACAUGUCCGUUCCAGUCUUAUUUUGAUUGGCUUGAAUGAAGGUCUAUCACGCCGUUAGGCGCCGCAGCGCACUGUGCUCGCCGUUAGGCGCCGCGGCAUGCUCUGCUCGCGUCCGUCGGCGCGCUCGGCUUGUGGACAUCUCUUCCUUGCAUGUUCAACUGCUAUAUGCAUAUAUAUAUGGUUGCUCGCUGUUGAGGCGACCGCGGAGCGCUCUGCUCGUGUCCCUCCGUGCGUGCGCACGAUCACGUCGGGGGCCCCGUAUGCAUGCAGUUGCGCCGUGCGCGUUGCCACACGAUGCAGUUAUGUGCGGCAUGCUGAAGUUACACGCUGCAAAUUAGAACUGCCAUCAGGGCCUACCGAUAUUCCUGGCUGUCCGGCUUCCCCUUUAAUUCCCGCGGCCAUUAUAACCUUAGUCUCUUCAACCUUUCGAUCGCGCCCCACAACACAACAAGCACACCCACGACGACACAUAGAGAGGGGAUGUCCGGCGCUCCAAUGGAGUUCGGCAAGCAUAGAGUGGAGACCCACGCGAGGGAGACGGAUCUCUCGGUGGUGUACACCAUCGACCUGGCCAUGGUGGACGACUACAUCAACAGCGUUGAGUGAUACGUCUCCAAUGUAUCUAUAAUUUUUAUUGUUCCAUGCUAUAUUAUAUUCUGUUUUGGACAUUAAUGGGCUUUAUUAUACACAUUUAUAUUAUUUUUGGGACUAACCUAUUAACCGGAGGCCCGGCCCGGAAUUGUUGUUUUUUGCCUAUUUCAGAGUUUCGCAGAAAAAGAAUAUCAAACGGAGUCCAAACGGAAUGAAACCUUCGGCAACGUGAUUUUCGGAACGAACGUGAUCCAGAGGACUUAGACCCUACGUCAAGACAUCAACCAGGAGGGCAAGAGGUAGGGGCGCGCCUACCCCCCUGGGCGCGCCCUCCACCCUCGUGGGCCCCAUGUUGCUCCACCGACGUACUUCUUCCUCCUAUAUAUACCUACGUACCCCCCAAACUACCAGAUACGGAGCCAAAAACCUAAUUCCACCACCGCAACCUUCUGUACUCGUGAGAUCCCAUCUUGGGGCCUUUUCCGGAGCUCCGCCGGAGGGGGCAUCGAUCACGGAGGGCUUCUACAUCAACACAUAGCCUCUUCGAUGAUGUGUGAGUAGUUUACCUCAGACCUUCGGGUCCAUAGUUAUUAGCUAGAUGGCUUCUUCUCUCUUUUUGGAUCUCAAUACAAUGUUCUCCCCCUCUCUUGUGGAGAUCUAUUCGAUGUAAUCUUGUUUUGUGGUGUGUUUGUUGAGACUGAUGAAUUGUGGGUUUAUGAUCAAGUUUAUCUAUGAACAAUAUUUGAAUCUUCUCUGAAUUCUUUUAUGUAUGAUUGGUUAUCUUUGCAAGUCUCUUCGAAUUAUCAGUUUGGUUUGGCCUACUAGAUUGAUCUUUCUUGCAAUGGGAGAAGUGCUUAGCUUUGGGUUCAAUCUUGCGGUGUCCUUUCCCAGUGACAGUAGAGGCAGCAAGGCACGUAUUGUAUUGUUUCCAUCGAGGAUAACAAGAUGGGGUUUAUAUCAUAUUGCAUGAGUUUAUCCCUCUACAUCAUGUCAUCUUACUUAAAGCGUUACUCUGUUCUUAUGAACUUAAUACUCUAGAUGCAUGCUGAAUAGCGGUCGAUGUGUGGAGUAAUAGUAGUAGAUGCAGGCAGGAGUCGGUCUACUUGUCUCGGACGUGAUGCCUAUAUACAUGAUCAUACCUAGAUAUUCUCAUAACUAUGCUCAAUUCUAUCAAUUGCUCGACAGUAAUUUGUUCACCCACCAUAAUACUUAUGCUAAUGAGAGAAGCCACUAGUGAAACCUAUGGCCCCCGGGUCUAUUUUCCAUCAUAUUAAUCUCCCGUCAACAAGCUAUUGCUAGCGCCGUCUUUAUUUUGCUUUCUUUAUUUUGCAUCUUUAUCAUAAAAAUACCAAAAAUAUUAUCUUAUCAUAUCUAUCAGAUCUCACUCUCGUAAGUGACCGUGAAGGGAUUGACAACCCCUUUAUUGCGUUGGUUGCAAGGAUUUAUUUGUUUGUGUAGGUGCGAGGGACUCGUGCGUGGCCUCCUACUGGAUUGAUACCUUGGUUCUCUAAAACUGAGGGAAAUACUUACGCUACUUUGCUGCAUCACCCUUUCCUCUUCAAGGGAAAACCAACGCAGUGCUCAAGAGGUAGCAAGAAGGAUUUCUGGCGCCGUUGCCGGGGAGUCUACAGAAAAGUCAACAUACCAAGUACCUAUCACAAACCCUUAUCUCCCGCAUUACAUUAUUUGCCAUUUGCCUCUCGUUUUCCUCUCCCCCACUUCACCCUUGUCGUUUUAUUCGCCAUCUCUUUUUCAUUUGCCUCUUUUUCAUUUGCUUGUCGUUAUGGCUAGUCCCCUAUCUUCUCCGUUGUCUCCCGAGAAUGAAGUUCUUAAUUUUAAGCAAAGGGAGCGAGAAAAUCUAAAAGACGCUUGGUAUAGAAUUUGCAAUGCUCAAAAUAGAUCUACCAGGAAGCAAUCUACUUCCGUUCUUCUUCGCAAUUUUUAUGUAGGCGCUACUCCUUGGUACAGAUAUAUCCUUGAUACCAUUACCGGAGGGAAUUUCUUGGGUAGCCAUACUUUUGAUUCUUAUAAUGCUAUGAUAGAUUUGUUUGGCUCACCACCUCUUUUGGUUAAUGGAACUAUGUUAACUUUGGAGCAUGUAAUGCAAAGACUUGAAAUUAUUGAAAAUAAAGUUGCUACCGUAGAGUUAAUUGAAAAUUUGGAUAAAAAGAUCCACAACAAAAUUACCCAAUAUGGAUCUAAAGUAGGAGUCACUUUGAAAAAUAUUAAGGAGAAGGAACCCAUAGUUAAUGAAAAAUCAGGAUUCCACUAGAAUCGAUAAACUUGAGGGUAUCAUUACCAACUUGGGAACCGCUUUUUCUUCCAUAAAGAAUACUCCAAGUCCUCCAACUAAAAUUUCCAAGCUUAUGUAUGUUCCUAAAAAUAAGGGUGAAUCCUCUAGUAAGGAAACUGCGGAUCUCAAAUCUAUAAGUAUUCAUCAAAAUGUUUUUGCUAUCAUUAAGGAACCAUUUGAUACAAAUGAAUUUUUCGGUUAUGUGCCUAGAAGUUUGAUAAUUAAUAAAAAUAAAGAAACUCCUAAGGAUGAUAGAUGUCUCAUUGAAGAAUUGCCCACCAAAGAUGGCAAUACCUAGAUCUAUCCUUGCUAUUAUGCCUAGCUAGGGGCGUUAAACGAUAGCGCUUGUUGGGAGGCAACCCAAUUUUAUUUUUAGUUUUUUUUUUUGCUUUUUGCUUCUGUUUAGGAAUAAGUAUUUGAUCUAGCCUCUGGUUAUAUGUGUUUUUAUGCUUUAAUUGGUGUUUGUGCCAGGUUUAACCUAUAGGAUCUUCUUGGAUGAUCGUUAUUUGAUCUUGCUGAAAAUUCCAGAAACUUUCUGUUCACGAAAAUAAUUGUUAAAAAUCACCAGAACCUGAUAAAAUGUUGAUUCCAAUUGCUGCUGAUCAAUAAACAAAUUUUCUAGGUCGUCCUAUUUUGGCUGAAUUUUUGGAGUUCCAGAAGUUUGCGUUAGUUACAGAUUACUACAGACUGUUCUGUUUUUGACAGAUUCUGUUUUUCGUGUGUUGUUUGCUUAUUUUGAUGAAUCUAUGGCUAGUAAAAAAGUUUAUAAACCAUAGAGAAGUUGGAAUACAGUAGGUUUAACACCAAUAUAAAUAAAUAAUAAGUCCACUACAGUACCUUGAAGUGGUGUUUUGUUUUCUUUCGCUAAAGGAGCUCACGAGAUUUUCUGUUAAGUUUUGUGUUGUGAAGUUUUCAAGUUUUGGGUAAAAGAUUUGAUGGAUUAUGGAACAAGGAGUGGCAAGAGCCUAAGCUUGGGGAUGCCCAUGGCACCCCAAGAUAAUCUAACGACACCAAAAAGCCAAAGCUUGGGGAUGCCCCGGAAGGCAUCCCCUCUUUUGUCUACUUCCAUCGGUAACUUUACUUGGGGCUAUAUUUUUAUUCACCACAUGAUAUGUGUUUUGCUCGGAGCGUCCUGUAUGGUUUGAGUCUUUGCUUUUUAGUUUACCACAAUCAUCUUUUCUGUACACACCUUUUGAGAGAGACACACAUAAUUCGGAAUUCAUUAGAAUACUCUAGCGCUUCACUUAUAUCUUUUGAGUUAUAUAGUUUUUGCUCUAGUGCUUCACUUAUAUCUUUUAGAGCACGGCGGUAGAUUUGUUUUAUAGAAACUAUUAUUCUCUCAUGCUUCACUUAUAUUAUUUUGAGAGUCUUAAACAGCAUGGUAAUUUUCUUAAAUUGGGAAAUUAAUCCUAAUAUGUUAGGUAUUCAAGACUAGUAAAAAACUUUCUUAUGAGUGUGCUGAAUGCUAAGAGAAGUUUGAUGCUUGAUGAUUGUUUUGAGAUAUGGAGGUAGUGAUAUUAAAGUUGUGCUAGUUGAGUAGUUGUGAAUUUGAGAGAUACUUGUGUUGAAGUUUGCAAGUCCCGUAGCAUGCACGUAUGGUAAACGUUAUGUAACAAAUUUGAAACAUGAGGUGUUCUUUGAUUGUCCUCCUUAUGAGUGGCGGUCGGGGACGAGCGAUGGUCUUUUCCUACCAAUCUAUCCCCCUAGGAGCAUGCGCGUAGUGCUUGGUUUUUGAUGACUUGUAGAUUUUUGCAAUAAGUAUGUGAGUUCUUUAUGACUAAUGUUGAGUCCAUGGAUUAUACGCACUCUUACCCUUCCAUCAUUGCUAGCCUCUUCGGUACCGUGCAUUGCCCUUUCUCACAUUGAGAGUUGGUGCAAACUUCGCCGGUGCAUCCAAACCCUGUGAUAUGAUACACUCUUUCACACAUAAACCUCCUUAUAUCCUCCUCAAAACAGCCACCAUACCUACCUAUUAUGGCAUUUCCAUAGCCAUUCCGAGAUAUAUUUCCAUGCAACUUUCCACCGUUCCGUUUAUCAUGAGACGUUCAUCAUUGUCAUAUUACUUUGCAUGAACAUGUAGUUGACAUCGGAUUUGUGGCAAAGCCACCAUUCAUAAUUUUUUCAUACAUGUCACUCUUGAUUCAUUGCUAUCCCGGUAUACCGCCGGAGGCAUUCAUAUAGAGCCAUACUUUGUUCUAGUAUAGAGUUGUAAUCAUUGAGUUGUAAAUAAAUAGAAGUGUGAUGAUCAUCAUUCAUAGAGCAUUGUCCCAAUAAAAAAAGAGAAAGGCCAAAAAAAGAGAAGGCCCAAAAAAAGGGACAAUGCUACUAUCCUUUUUUCCACACUUGUGCUUCAAAGUAGCACCAUGAUCUUCAUGUUAGUCUCUUGUUUUGUCACUUUCAUAUACUAGUGGGAAUUUUUCAUUAUAGAACUUCGCUUGUAUAUUCCAACAAUGGGCUACCUCAGAUGCCCUAGGUCUUCGUGAGCAAGCAAGUUGGAUGCACACCCACUUAGUUUCUUUUGUUGAGCUUUCAUGCAUUUAUAGCUCUAGUGCAUACGUUGCAUGGCAAUCCCUACUCCUUGCAUUAACAUCAAUCGAUGCGCAUCUCCAUAGCUCAUUGAUUAGCCGCGUUGAUGUGAGACUUUCUCCUUUUUUGUCUUCUCCACAUAACCCCCAUCAUUAUAUUCUAUUCCACCCAUAGUGCUAUAUCCAUGGCUCACGCUCAUAUAUUGCGUGAAGGUUGAAAAAGUUUGAGAUUACUAAAGUAUGAAACAAUUGCUUGGCUUGUCAUCGGGGUUGUGCAUGAUGAGAGCAUUCUUGUGUGAUGAAAAUGGAGCAUGAUUAAACUAUAUGAUUUUGUAGGAAUGAACUUUCUUUGGCCAUGUUAUUUUGAGAGGACAUAAUUGCUUAGUUAGUAUGCUUGAAGUAUUAUUACUUUUAUGUCAAUAUUAAACUUUUAUCUUGAAUCUUUCAGAUCUGAAUAUUCAUACCACAAUUAAGAGAAUUACAUUGAAAUUAUGCUAAGUAGCAUUCCACAUCAAAAAUUCUGUUUUUAUCAUUUACCUACUCGAGGACGAGCAGGAAUUAAGCUUGGGGAUGCUUGAUACGUCUCCAACGUAUCUAUAAUUCUUGAUUGUUCCAUGCUAUAUUAUAUUUUGUUUUGGACAUUAAUGGGCUUUAUUAUACACUUCUAUAUUAUUUUUGGGACUAACCUAUUAACCGGAGGCCCAGCCCAGAAUUGUUGUUUUUUUGCCUAUUUCAGAGUUUCGCAGAAAAAGAAUAUCAAACGAAGUCCAAACGGAAUGAAACCUUCGAGAACGUGAUUUUUGGAACGAACGUGAUCCAGAGGACUUGGACCCUACGUCAAGACAUCAACCAGGAGGGCACGAGUUAGGGGGCGCGCCUACCCCCCUGGGCGCGCCCUCCACCCUCGUGGGCCCCACGUUGCUCCACCGACGUACUUCUUCCUCCUAUAUAUACCUACGUACCCCCAAACUACUAGAUACGGAGCCAAAAAACCUAAUUCCACCGCCGCAACCUUCUAUACCCGUGAGAUCCCAUCUUGGGGCCUUUUCCGGAGCUCCGCCGGAGGGGGCAUCGAUCACGGAGGGCUUCUACAUCAACACCAUAGCCUCUCCGAUGAUGUGUGAGUAGUUUACCUCAGACCUUGGGGUCCAUAGUUAUUAGCUAGAUGGCUUCUUCUCUCUUUUUGGAUCUCAAUACAAUGUUCUCCCCCUCUCUUGUGGAGAUCUAUUCGAUGUAAUCUUGUUUUGCGGUGUGUUUGUUGAGACCGAUGAAUUGUGGGUUUAUGAUCAAGUUUAUCUAUGAACAAUAUUUGAAUCUUCUCUGAAUUCUUUUAUGUAUGAUUGGUUAUCUUUGCAAGUCUCUUCGAAUUAUCAGUUUGGUUUGGCCUACUAGAUUGAUCUUUCUUGCAAUGGGAGAAGUGCUUAGCUUUGGGUUCAAUCUUGCGGUGUCCUAUCCCAGUGACACUAGGGGCAGCAAGGCACGUAUUGUAUUGUUGCCAUCGAGGAUAACAACACGGGGUUUAUAUCAUAUUGCAUGAGUUUAUCCCUCUACCUCAUGUCAUC